RNAcentral lists this long non-coding RNA (51717 nucleotides) under Marmota monax (woodchuck). The stretch from base 6719 to 6787 matches the Rfam family "tRNA". The record is from RNAcentral. Lineage: Eukaryota; Metazoa; Chordata; Mammalia; Rodentia; Sciuridae.
GCGAGGUGCGGCCUGUGGGGCGGGUGCGCGCGCGAGCGGGCACGUGGGGCUCUUUCGUCCCCGGCGUCCGGGCGCCCUGCGCCAGCCCCCACUCCUGCCCCGGCCCCACGGGUGGCUGGUGAGCAGAAAGAUCCAAACCCGUGCCCCUACCGCGGGCCGGCGCAGUCGCGCCUUUGUGUUUGUGAAGUGCUCGUAACAGCCAUGAAAAGAAUGGCGUCCAUUUACAUAAUGCUUUGUUUGCAUCUUGCUGGUUUCUUUCUGUUGAAACCCGCAGAAACCCAACCUAGCAAUUCGGUCCUUUCUACCGUGGCAGUCUCUUGUCUGCUACUUGAAACAAUAGUGUGCGUCUCUGGAGGCCUUAUUUAAAUUCGAGCGGUGCCGACCAGAGUUGGAGGUUUCUGCGGCAUUUCCCGCGCGGCCUCUCCGGUUCUCGCUUUUCGGCCCUCUUCUCUCACAGCGCAGCCGCAGCGCCCCACUCUCGGGCGGCCCCUGGUGACGCCCGCCAUCUUGGGAGGCCUUUUCUGCCUAGUUCAUCUCGCUAGAAAAUGUCGCUGAGAUGCCGGCACAUGAGUUGUGAUUUCUACCCCUUCCCUUUCCUCUUUGAGCUAAGCCAGACUCCAGAAUGUCAAGUGAGCAAAGCAUACUUAGUCCCUCAGUGAAAGUGGGCUAACGUGGCGCUCCCCAUCGCCACCCCCCCCCCGUCGCCAUGUUUCCUGAACACAAAAUGGCGACACGUGGCCUGGAUUCGUCGCUCAGGAGAAAUUGGGGUCGCCCGAAAGCUCUAGAACGCGCCGCCUCUUGUUCACUGGGACUUCCCUGCGACGGGAGUCCUUAAGAUCCCUCCUGUAGGCUGGUCCGAAACGUGGCGGAAGAAGUUUAAUCCUCCCUCCUUUAAUUUGAAAGGAGAAUGUGAAUAAUAGUAAAAUGUAGGCACGGUGUCGAUCAUCUCGGCCUUUUUUUUUUUUUUAGAUUUUCAUAGUGUAUGGGCAGUACCAUGGGGAAAUUUCAGGUGUCCCCCCGCCCCUGUACCAAAAUACUUAGAAACCACUGCUUUAAGGAAUGAGAUGGGGAAAAUACUGCUUUCCCAGAUCUCCUAGUACACGGUGUUGUGCUGGGAAGACCAAAAUAUGAUUUUUAAAAUAAUACAAAUAUGUAGACAUACUCUGUAGGCAUUUUCACAGGCAGUUAGUUGGUCAGUGACCCACAGCUUAUUAUAAUUUGUAUUGUCUUUUAUGGUCUAGAAGGGACAGAUCUUAUGGUAGGCAUUUUAUUGCAUACUAUCUUAAUUUUUACCACACUCUACGAGGUAGUUAUCCCCUUCUCUUUCUCUCUUUUUUUUUAAGCAGAGGAAGACACUUAAGCCCAGAGAAAUGAAGUGAGCCAUUCAAAGUCAUACGUUGUCGGGGAUGGAAUCCAGACCUUCUGAUUUCUUUACUGGUGAGCACAUUUUCCAGUUUUUCUAUAAAUCAAGGUUUUUGAAUUAAAUUCAUUCAUUCUUUCUUUUUUUUUUUUUUUUUUUUGUAGCAAAAAAGCUACCAAAGGUGCUUAACCAUUGAGCCACAUUCCUAGCCGUCACCCUUUUUAUUUUUUUAAUUUUAAAACAGUGUUGCUUACAGCUUCGCUAAAUUUCUGAGGCUGGUUUUGAACCUGUGAUCCUCCUGCCUCAGCCUCCCGAUCUGCUUAGAAUUUAAAUUGUUUUUAACGUGUAAAUGUGCUGACUUUGAAGGUUACCUUUAGGUAAUCCUUUGUUGUGUAGUCAGCCCAUUUGUAUCUCCUUGGGGAUUUCCAUUUUCUCCUGAUGUGAGUGACACACACAUUUGAGCCCUGUCUGGGCUUAAAUGCUGUUCUGUGAGGUAACUGGAUAGGGAGAGAGAGAUGGAAGUGAUUCAGACCUUUCCAAGGCCCACGUGUCUUAGUCUGGCCUCCUCAGUGGCACAUUUGAGUUACCUGGCUCUAGGGGAGUGAACAAUUCUUUGAGAGACUCACUUGCUUCCUUCAGCUACUUGUGCUUGACUCCUUCUUCACUACCCCUUAUCCCCAGCUCUGUAAAAAUGAGUUAUUUUACUCUGGCACCAAGCCUCCAUUAUUCUGCAAAUAUUGACAAAUCCUGACAUAGUGUUAGAUAAAUCAUAGUCUGUGGACACCUCAGUGUAACACAUGGUUAGGGGGUCCAGGUAACAAAAACAUGCCUAAACAAGGACUACAUGGCUGUUAUAGAUGGAGAGGGAUUUUUGCUUUUAACUUACAUUAACGUGUGUAUCAAAUUUUCCAAAAGUCUUCAUAUUGUUUUAUAUAACUCUGCAAAUAACUUUGAUAGGUACAUACCUAGGAUAUAACUAAGUACUUAGUGCUAUUAUUAUUACAGUAAUAAUAAUAGCACUAAGUACUUAGUUAUAUGCUAGGCCCUGUUCUAAGCCUAUCCUAUGCUUUAACUCAGUGGCUCUUAACAUUAUUAAAAGUAAAAUAUUAGAAGAAAUCGAUCUUACAUUGUAAUUCAGAUGUACACACAUAUAUCACAUAUCGGUUCUUUUUUUUUUUUUUUUUUAAUUGGGAAUUAAAUGAGGAUGCUUUACCAUUGAGCAACAUCAUCUUUUAUUUAUUUAUUUAUUUUUAAUUUUGAGACAGGGUUUCACUAAAUUACUAAGUUGCUGAGGUUGGCUUUGAACUUGGAAUCCUGCUUCAGCCAUCCUAGUUGCUGGGAUGAUAGGUGUGUGCCACUGUACCCAUUUUAUAUAACAGAUUUUUUUGCAAAACACUACUUAUUACUACAUGCAAUGUAUUCUGGUUCCAGUUUCUGUUCAUUUAUUUAUAUUCAAACAUAAAAGGGGUUGUUAUAACUAAAAUGAUUCAAAACCCAUUAGUAGGUUGUGACUGGAAUACACAUUUAAUCCUCAUAUAAGCUCAUGAAAUGGGUGGUGAUAUUAUUUCCAUUUUACAGAGGUACUGAGAGGUGAAGGAGUUUGUCCAAGUUCAGAUAAAGUAGUAAAGUAUGGAUAUGAAUGUAGGCAAUCUGAGUCCACAGAUGGUAUACUUAACCAUAAGGUAGAUGUGGUCUCUGUGGAGUUCUUUGUAGGGAGACAAAGUAGAUUAAAGAAUUAAAAAUACUAGUAAUGGCUUGGCAUGGUGUACACACCUAUAAUCCUAGCCACUUGGGAGACUGAGGCAGGAGGAUUGCAAAUUUAAGGCCAGCCUCAGCAAUUUAAGCACUAAGCAAUUUAGCAAUAUCCUGACUCAGAAAAUAAAAGGGCUGGGGAUGUGGCUUAAGUGGUUAAGCACCCCUGGAUUCAAUUCCUAAUUAAAAAAAAAAAAAAAGAUACUAGUAAUGGUUCAAAUCCGGGUGCGCUCUCCAAAUACAACAAAAAAAAAAAUAUUAGAAAACAGGAGACGAAAGGACUAAAUUGCAUAUGGUCAUGGAGUAUCCUGAUUGAAUGCAUUAUGGUCCUCCAAAUUUACUUUUUUUAUCUUCCCUAAAGAAAUUUUUACCCAUCAGGUAAAAAAAAAAAAUUUUUUCCCCAAGAUUGCCUGUUUUAAUUCUUUUCUGCCUGAAAUAUUUCCUUGAUUUCUUCUUAUCUGAGUACCUCUAGGACUAAUUGUACUCCUCAGUGAAGUAUUUCCUUUCUCAUCUUCCUUAGCUCUUAACCUCCCCGAGAAUCCUAUAUCCCACCUUCAGUGGCCCACAUUUUACUGUUGAUGAAAUCCUAGAGUGAUGUGUCCUGUAGGCUCUCCAGGUGCCCUGGAGAUGCUGUAAUUUGUCAAAGUGGGCUCUGGAUUUUGGAAUCCAAGGCUCUGUGCCCUAGCCCCAUUCUGUGACUGACUAGCUGUGAGACUUCUACAAUUUAUAUAUCUGGGUCUCAGUUUUUUCCACUGUAAAACAAAAAAUUAAAUGAUCACUAAGCCAUUUUUAAAUUCUAUUCUGGGAGUGAUACUAUUUAAUGACCUUAUUAUCUCUGAGUGGUGGUGGGUAGGGUUGUGUAAAUGUUUUACUCACUUUUGGAAAAUUCUGUACUCCCUUACUCAGAUCUGGAUUAACUUUUGAAUUCCACAUUACCCAUUUUAUGGAUGAAGCUCCUGAGAUAUGGAACAAUGGAUUGAAUAGUCACCGCCCCAACCCUGGAAUCUCACACAGGACUCUUCUCACUCAAAUGACCACAGGUUGGUUAAGGGGUUUAAUAUGACUGGGAAGGUGAGCCAGGUUUAGACUUUGGAAGUUGAACCACAGGAUUUAUCUUCCAUUCAGAGAAACAAUUUUUACUUCCUCUUACAUUAUGUUGGCAUGUUAUAUACAUAAAACUUUAAAAAAUGAUUUUGUAUUACUUGUAUAAGCAUCACAGACAGCUUUGCCAAUAAGUUAUUAUUGUACCAAUUUUACUGAUGAGCCAUCUUUGGAUUAGAAGAGUGAAAGAAUUUGCUGAAGGUUAUACAGCUUAUUGGGACCUGAGUUAGAUUUUUUUUUUUUUUUUUAAUUAGCUGCCAUGACAUUACAAUGAUCUUGGCAAUUCAUACAUUUGAAUCAAUUGGGGUAUAAAUUCUCAUUUUUCUGAUUGUACAGAUUGCAGAAUCACACUGGUCAUAGAGUCACCUAUAUAUAUACAGCAUGAGUUAGAUUUCUUGAUUACUGCUUGUAGAUUGUCCUUUCCUUAACUUCUGAUGUCUGUGGCAUAGACUUUAUUUUAUUUUUUAUUUUGGUAUUGGGGAUUAAACCCAGGGUGCUUAACCACUUAGCCACAUUUCCUUUUUAUUUUUAUUUUGAAACUCGGUCUUGCUAAGUUGUUUAGGGCCUCAUUCAAUUGCUGCAGCUGGCCUCAAACUUGAAAUCCUCCUGCCUCAGUCUCCUGAGUUGUUGGAAUUAUUGGUGUGUGCCACUGUGCCCAGCUGUGUCACAGUUUUGAAACUUGGAUAACUUUAAAUUCAAAAAGCCUCCCAAAUCAGUCUUUGUUUUUCUGUCCUAGAACAUCCAUUCCAAUUACCUUAGGCUCCUUACUCUUGUUUUAAGAUAAUUUCUUCUCUUCUUGAUCUCUAGUGCUUACAUUUAUGAGUUUGUGAAGGAGUGAGAGUGAUUACUCAAUGAGACUCCCAAAUUCCCUGGUGGUAGGGACCAUAUUUCUUUUCUUUAACCUACUUGUCCCAGCAAAGUAUACUAUAGCUAUUUAAAUUUGCUCUAUAAACAUGUAGCAUUGUUUUUUAAAAACAUGGUUUAAUUUUUUUCUCCUCCAUCAGAGCUCUCUUUUAUUUAAAAUAAUAUUAAAUUGAGAGGGCCUUUUCUCUAUUAUAUUAUAGGCUACUAUAGCCUAGAAACUUGUCUUACCCACUUUGCAGAUAGUAACAAUUUGGUGUCAUGUGCUGGUUUCCUUGUUCUGCUGUUAGGAGAUCACUCUUUGGUUGCCUGAGAAACAUAAGAAGUUUAUUGGUGUAGUUUGCAGAAGUAACCCAAAGAUACAGCAACAUCCUUGGCCUAAGUUCUCCCUAUUAGACAAAGCAAUGCCCUUGGAUACUCUAUGGUAUCUCUGCCUGAAAUAGAGUAUGUGGAAGAGAUGGCAGAGGAAAGUUUAAAAAGGGGAAAAAUGAAAACUGAAUGCAAAUACAAAGUAUAGAAAGUGAGGAUGGGUAAAAAGCGAAGAGUGAAAUGCAGUAUUGGUGGGAAAGAGGUGAACAAAACAAUCUAGAGGUUCAUCACCCCUGCUUCCCUCCUGUGUGCCAGCGCACAGCUGGUGGUUUGAGAAGCAUAGACUGCUGUCUUCAAAGAAGAGCAGUGGAAAUGAUGACUCCUCUUGAGUUGAUUUCGGGUAGCACACACUUCCAUUUUUUUUUUUUUUUUAAACCUCUAUGUUCAUUACCAUGUAGAGUAAAUUUCUUUGCUUCUGCUAUCAGCUGGGGAUGGGAUUGGGUGCCAGUAACUUUAAUAUUAGCCUGAGUUCAGUUGAUUUAUCAGGGAAAAUAUGUUAAAAAAUUACUGAAGGUUUUCUUGGUCAAGUUUGUAUACAUUCAUUCAACAAGUCAUUAUUGAUUGUUUAAUAUGUCUUAGACACUAAGAAUAUACAAAUGCAUGAGAUCUUGACCUUGGCCUCAAGAUGUUUAUUAUCUAGAUGGAGAGACAGGUAACACAGACAUGUGUUAAGUAUUAAUAUAUGAGUUAGCAGAGAAUGCAGUGGGAGAAGAGAGGAGGGGCCUUAAUUUAGCUUUGGAAGCAAUGGGAGAAGGCGGUCUAGAUAAAAGUUGACAUCCAGAGUCCCAAAUGUGAGGGGGAGGGUAGGAAAGGGUAUUAUAGGCAGAGGGAACAAAAGUUCAAAAUCAGAGAGAGCAUAGUCCAUUGAGAAGUUGUAGGCAUUUAUGACGGAUGUUUGCAUUAUCCAAUUUUUAGUGAUUAUUGUUCUCCUGCUUCAGUAGUGUGGAUUAUUUUAACUUUACUGUGCUUGCUAUAGCAGAGAAAGUUGCAGACUUUAUUUUGGAGUAUUACUUCUGUUUUAAAAUGAAGACACCAGAAAUUGCACUUUUAUCUAGGAAUGCUAAGGAGAAAAUGUAAAUGAAGCCCAACCUUUGAAUUAGCAAAUGACUGGUGAUCAAUUGUACAGUAAAAGAAAGAAGGUACAGUGGCACAUCUGUAAUCCCAGUGGCUCCUGGAGACUGAGAGGAGGAUUUCGAGUUCAAAGCCAGCCUCAGCAGAUUAGUGAGGCAUUUAGCAAUUCAUUGAGACCCUGUCUCUAAAGAAAAAUAUAGGGCUGGGGUUGUGGCUCAGCGGUAGAGCGCUCACCUGGCACGUAUGAGACCCUGGGUUCGAUCCUCAGCACCAAAUAAAAAAAUAAGUGAAAUAAAGGUGUUGUGUCCAAUUACAACUAAAAAUAAAAAAAGGGCUGGGACAUCAGCUCACCUGGGUUCAAUCCCUGGUACCAAAAAAGAAAAAGAAGAAGAAAGAAAGAAGGUACAGCAGAGUGUGAUAGUGUAAGCCAGUAGUCCUAGCCAAUUGUGUGGUUGAGGCAGGAAGAUUGCUUGAGCCCAGAAGUUCAAAGCCAAUUUGGGCAGCAUAGCAAUACCCCAUCUCAAAAAAGGAAAAAGAAAGAUGCAGUGUACAGUGUAUCUUUGUCAUCCAACUUUAGGGUCUGUUGUGCUCUGUUUUGUUUUUAAGGCUUUAAGGCUGUGUGUGUGUGUGUGUGUGUGUGUGUAAAUUUAUGGUCUUAUUCAGUUGGUUAGGAUAUUUGAGUUAGGGAGGAGGGAAAGGGGGUCUAGAAUAAUUGUGCCUUUUUAUGGCAGAACAAAAGAAAUACCUUUCAUGCUGGGAGGUGGCACACGCCUCUAAUCCCAGCGGCUCUGGAGGCUGAGACAGGAGAAUCACAAGUUCAAAGCCAGCCUCAGCAACUUAGUGAGGCGCUUAGCAACUCAACGAGACUCUGUCUCUAAAUAAAAAAUGGCUGGGUAUGUGGCUCAGUGGUUAAGCAUCCCUGGGUUCAAUCCCUGGUCCAAAAAAAAAAAAAAAAGAAAAAAUAUGUUUAAAAAGCUCUGAUCCCACCAACUAAGCACAACAAGGCAUAGUCAGGAACUUUGUUUUAGAAAGACAGUUACUUCAACUAGACAAAAUGUUUGUUCAACAUCAUUCACUUUGUAAAGUCUGUUUUGUUCAGAUUAAGAGCAUUGAUUUUUGUUUUUGUUUUUUUUCCCCACAUGGUCCUAGCUCCAUUAAACAGAAACCUUAUGUGUAUUCCUUGAAUAAUGCUGGGAUUUUUACUGGAUUAAACAACAACAAAAAAAAAGGUAUAUGUGAAAUAGGGAAGAAUAAAUUUAGCAGUCAGCUUGUAGAUUCAAUGGUCAUUUCUCAGUCAUCUUUCUUACCUUUCUUAUCAGAAGCAGUUGCUGCUCCUUCCUUGCACUAUGGCUUCACUUAAUUUCUAUGGCAUUCUCUUAGCUCUCUGUCUACCUCCUUGGCCCCUCUUCCUUAACAUUUUUUUUCUUCCUAAUGCUUUCUCAUCUCUUUAGCCUCCAGUGACAGAGUACUCAAAGUAGUCCACCUGUUCUGCCUACACUUAUUUCUUAGUGCUUUAUUUUUUUUUCAAAACUUUAAAUACCAUAUAUCCAGGUGUGGUGGCGUACACCUAUAAUCCCAGUGGUUCAGAAGGCUGAGGCAGGAGGAUUAUGAGUUCAGAGCAACUCAGUGAGACCUUGUCUGUAAAUAAAAUACAAAAAAGAGCUGGGAAUAUGGCUCAGUAGUUAAGCACCUCUGGAUUCAAUUCCUGGAAGCAAAAAAAAAAAGGUCUGGGGAUGGUUCUCAGAGGUAGCAUGCCCCUGGUUCAAUCCCCAGUAUCUAGGAGAAAAAUUUAUACACAAAACAUUUUUAUAUUUAAUAUAUAAAAUAUUUAUGUGUAUCAUACAUAUAAUAUACACUUUGUAUAUUAUAUAAUAUAUAUAUUUGUUAACCUGAUAAUUAUUUUUUUAUUUUUUUGUGGAGCUGGGGGAUGUAUCACUGAGCUACUCACCCAGCCCAGGACAUUGUUUUGAUCAUUGCUGUGUUCUCAUAUUCUAGAAUAGUGCCUAGGAUAUUGGAGUUGAAUGAAUAAAUUUAUUUAAUUUUCAAACAAAAAUAUAUUUGGUAUAUAAAGGACCACAUAACAAGGGGAAUAUCUGUGAAUAAGGUAUUAUUCCCGCCCCUAAAUUGCUUAUAACCAAAAAAAAAAAAAAAAAGCUGUUUCUUUAGCAUGAUAAAGUGCUACAUCAUUCUGGAAUUGGGGAGAUUAAGGCUAGUAUAAAGGGGUGUGCUUGUCAUCAGAGAUGAAGUCCUGCUUUGUCAGGCCUAUCAAUCAUUUGUGCUCUUUCUGGGAGGGCAGAAUUGAUGAUAGUUUAGUUCAUUACUGGCUUUUUAGGUUACAAUUCCUGAUUGGUCUUGCCUUGUUAGAGCAGUUAUGACCUUUUGAAGAAUUUCUUAAAAAUCCCAUUAUUAGUCUUAAUUCUUUUUGGGUGCCUUCUAGGUAUCUUCUAAUGUAGCCCCUGCCUCCCAGGAUGAGUGAAAAGAGUUCACCAACUUUACCUUCCGCAUAUCUGAAAGUUCUUUCUGGUAAUCCUGCCCAUCUGCUUACUAACUAUCUGGUCUUAAAGCUCUCUGAACCUGUUUCUGUACCUGUCAAAUGGAGAUAAUGACAAAUGACACCAGUCUUUGUUAUGAAAGUUAAAUGAUGAAUAUAUAAUUUUAAAAAUAGAAUGGAAAGUGGAAGAGGGAUUGUUAUUUUCUUUUUAAGUAAAUACUAUAUAUCUCUGCCCUAUUUUGAAAAAAGUUAUAAUAUAUACUUAAUUGAAUGUAUAUUUUAUAUGUGUAUGUAUAUGUAUCUGCAUAUCUAUAUAUCCUCUCCACUCCCCUGGACUGGGAAUUGAACCUGGGGGUGCACCACCACUGAACUACAUUCUUAGACUUUAUUUUGAGACAGGGUUUCACUAAGUUGCCUAGGCAGGCCUUGAACUUGUGAUCCUCCUGCCUCAGCCUCUCAGGUUGGUGAGAUUACAGGUGUGCACCACUGUAUGCAGCAGAGCUUUUGCUCUUAACUGUUAUGCUAUCUGUCUUUAGUAGGUUGAGGGGAAGAGAUUGAACAAGAACUGCAUCUUGUUGAACUUGAACUGAGUGUAAAGGGUUCUGACAUUAUUAACUUUUAUUUCUGACCAUAAGCAUCUUAUCAUCAUAGCAUGUGCCUUAAUCCUCUGAACUGGUUCUUCCCUCAAUCCAAAGAAAUAUAUGAGCAAUAGGUUAAUUGUAGUCUCCUCUUGUAAGAUUGGGUAUUUCCUGGGCCAGGAAAUGAAGCUAAAUAAAUAUGUGUGUCUCAGUGUUCUUUGGAACAGAAGUGGGAGUUUCUCUGAUCUUUUGUGGUUAUGCUUGUUUCUCCUCUUCUUCUUUUUUAAAAUUUUUUAGAUGUUGGUAGACCUUUAUUUUUAUUCAUUUAUUUUUAUGUGGUAAAAUCGAACCCAGGGCCCCUCACACAUACUAAGUAAGUGCUCUACCAUUGAGCCAUAAUCCCAGCCCCUGUUUCUCUUCUUCUUCUUUUUUUUUUUGAGAGAGAGAGAGAGAGAGAAUUUCAAUAUUUAUUUUUUUUAGUUUUCGGCGGACACAACAUCGUUGUUUGUAUGUGGUGCAGAGGAUCGAACCCGGGCUGCAUGCAUGCCAGGUGAGCACGCUACCGCUUGAGCCACAUCCUCAGCCCCUGUUUCUCUUGUUAAUACAACUGGUAACAAAGAGAAGCAGAGCAGUGUACUGAGAAUUUUCAUGGAUUAUCUCAAUCCUUAAACAUAACCUUAUAAAUAGUCAUUCUUUCCAGAUAUGGUGGCAGUUGCCUAUAAUCCCAGCAACUUUGGAAGCUGAGGCAGAAGAAUCACAAAUUCAAGACCAGCCUGAGUAAUUUAGAGAGACCCUAAGCAAUUUAGCGAGGCCCUGUCUCAAAAUAAGAAAUAAAAGGGCUGAGGAUGUAGCUCAGUGAUAGAGUUCCCCUGGACUUAAUCCCUCGUACCAAAUAAAUACAUCGUCAUUUUUACUCCUGUAUUUUAUAGCGUCAAAGAGAGAUUAGGAAAUUUGCUUAAAGCUACACGGUUAAUAAAUAUAAGAGUUGGGAUUUGAAUAAAGUGGCCUGGCUUCACAGUCCAUGCUUUUAAGCUUUGUGUUCUGCUCUUUCUAGGCGUCUUUGACCUGUGUGAAAUAGGUGGUACAAAUUGAAUAUCCCUUAUCUGAAAUGCUUAGCAUUAGAAGUGUUUCAGGCUUUGGAGUUUUUUGGAUUUUGAAAUAUUUGCAUAGAUUUUUACUAGUUGAGUAUCUCUAAUCUAAAAAUCCAACAUCUAUAUUUUGAAACUCAAAAGGUUGCUCAACCUAUGUAGGCCAUGUGGUUUGAGAGGUAGAAGGGCCAGUUUUGUUUUUCCCAAAAUGGCAAGAUUUUGGUUAGUGACUAGGAAUAAAGAGGCCUUUGAUCUUUCUUGGUUCUGUUACCAACUUGUUAUGUCUAGGAGUUCAGUUUUCUUAGCCUUGUUGUCGUCAUUCAUUAAACAAAGGAAUUCCUCUAUAUGGUCUAUAAGGUCCCUUUAAACUCUCAAGUUCUGGGAUUGAUAAUAGCAAGUAAGAAGAAUGACAUUUUUUAGCUUGGUGUAGUGGUAUUUGUGCAGUCUUAGGAACUCUGCUUUAUGCAAGGAGGAUGCCAGAUUUCAGUGAAGGGUUGUGCCUCCUUCCUGAAGAAGGCAGGUCUGGGCUCUUUUUUGAAAUUGGUUGCCAAAGGAACUUAGCUGGUCAGCAAUAGCCAGAAAUGCUUUGGUUGAGGCUUGGGUACAGAUAACUAAAACAAACAGGUUUCAGUCCUUACCUCCCCUACUCCCCUGCCCCCCAUCAUUCCUUUCCCUUUCCUUUUCAAACUGCUAGUUCUGAACACUUUCAUGUGUAGGGCACUGUUUUAAGUACUUAACAAAGUGUUAUAUCAUUUAAUUUUUAUAGUAAGCUUGUGAGAAUAGGGCCUUUUCUAAAUUUACAGAUAAUGAAAUGGAAGGAAAUAAAUAAUUUGUCCACGUUUACUCAAGUAGAAAAUAGAGUCAAAUCUAUGCUUUUAGCCACUGGGUUAUACUGUCUGAGUAGGUCUAAAAGGAAAAAAAAAAAAAAAAGGUAGAAGGAGAACUUUAGUUUUUUGUUAGUGAGUUUUGUUUGUUUUUGUUUCGUUUUAUUUAGAAAUGAUGGACUCUCAGAGCUGGAAAGGGCCAUUAAAGUAAUUUAAUACAAUCUUGUCUCCAGUCUGCCAACCAAUUACAGGAAUGCUUUCUAUUGUCUCCCUGACAGAUAAUCAUCCAAAUUCCCUUUGAAUAUCUCCAUUGAUGGGGGAGUGCAUCACUUCUUGAAGAUAUUAUAUUGUUGAAUAGCUCUCUUUGGUGGAUAACUGUUUCUUCUUUUGAAUUGAAAUCUAAUUCAGUCUUCUCAUUAAUUUUAGGCCAAUCCCAUGAACCAUAUAGGAUAAAUAUAAUUCAUCUUCCAUAUACCAGUCUUGUGAACUUUUGGAGACAGUCUUCCUAAGGCAUAUUUGCAAUUUUCUUAUAGCAUCUAAACUUGCUUUGAAUUCUGAUUGAUAUGCACAAGAGCAAUCUCUGCCUCUUACUAUUUUGUAAAUUCAACCUAACAUCUUUAUUUCUUGUGAUAACUUAGGCACAAAGUGGGCCUUUCCCACAUCCUUGGAGAAUGAAUAGAUGGUGAGCUAAGCCUUUACAAUUGCAUAUGAUUUUGGAGGAUUUGUAAUCUUCUACUCUUAUAAUUUCUAGAAGUUCAGGCUGCUGCCUUGCACACUGUUAGAAGUCACAAAAUGGCUGUAAGUUUAUCCCAGGUCGAUGAACUGCAUUUACUACAUCAGACCACUAGGUGAUGAACAACUCAAAUCCAGACUGCCAGGGACUGUGGUGUACAAGGAUGGUUUCUGUUUGGAAUUGGAAAGGCCAUCCGAAGUCAUCUGGUCCAACCUUAUUAAAAGGAUUUUUGGGAGUAAAGAGAGGAAAUGUGUUUUUUGUAUACUUUGUUUUUCCUGGGUUUGUUCUAAUUUUAGAUACUGAUUUUGCUAGGUUGUUUCUUUGAUUUUUAUACAAGAGGGGCAUGGACAAUCUUUUUUUUUGAGAGAGAGAGAGAGAGAAUUUUUUUUUUUUUAAUAUUUAUUUUUUUUUUAGUUUUCGGCGGACACAACAUCUUUGUUUGUAUGUGGUGCUGAGGAUCGAACCCGGGCCGCACGCGUGCCAGGCGAGCGCGCUACCACUUGAGCCACAUCCCCAGCUCCUAUGGACAAUCUUUAAAUAUAUAUUUCUUUAAUUUUUAAUUUUUCUUAUUCCAUAUUUUUUAUUGGUGCAUUAUAGUUAUACAUAAUGGUGGGAUUUAUUGUUACAUAUUUGUACAUGCACACAAAAUAAUAAUAUAAUUUGGCCAAUGUCAUUCCCCAGUAUUUUCCUUUUCUCUUUCCUCUUCCGGUCUCUUUACUCCACUGUCUCUCUUCCAUGAACAGUCUUUUUUUUUUAAUUUAUUUUUUAGUUUUCGGCAGACACAACAUCUUUCUUUGUAUGUGGUGCUGAGGAUCGAACCCGGGCCGCAUGCAUGCCAGGUGAGCGCGCUACCGCUUGAGCCACAUCCCCAGCCCCAUGAACAGUCUUUAUAUGUCCAAUUUUUUAAACAUUUAAAUUAAAUUUAUUUUCUGACAUACAAAAACAAAAUUGUACACAUUCAUGGUAUAUCAUGUGAUAUUUAAAUCAAGUUAAACAUAUCUAUUCCCUCAUAUAUUUCUUUCUCUUUUUUUCUUUUUUGGUACUGGAGAUUGAACCCUGGGGUAUUUUACCAAUGAGCUAGAUCCCUGGCCCUUUUUAUAUUUUAUUUUGAAACAGGGUCUCCAAUAAGUGGCUAAGGGCCUCACUGAGUUGCUGAGGCUGGCCUUGAAAUUGCAGUCCUCCUGUGUUAGCCUCCCAAGUCACUGGGAUUACAGGUGUGUGCCACCAUCCCCAGCUCAAACAUUUAUUUCUUUAUGGUAAAAAUAUUCAAAAUUAUUUCUUCUUUCUGUUUGAAGUAUAUAGGACAUUAUUGGUAUCAAUGUCAUCCUUCUGUGCAAGAGCACAGCAGAAGUACUACUUUUUUUUUUUGGUACUGGCAAUUAAACCCAGGGGUGCUUUACCUCUGAUAUGCAUCCCUAUUUUUUUUUUGAGAUAGGGUCUUGCUAAAUUGCCAAGGCUGGCCUCUAUUUUGCAAUUUUCUUGCCUCAGUCUCCUGUGUUGAUGGGAUUAUAGCCGUGCGCCACCACACCCAGCAGCACACUAGAGCUUCUUACUCCUGUCUAACUAUAACUUAGUAGCCGUUGAUCAACCUCUUCCACUCCUUAUUCUUUCUUUCUCUUUCUAUCCUGUGGUAACUAUUGUUCUAUUCUCAACUUACAUAAGAUCAGCUAUUUUUAUUUUCCACAUAUGAGUGAGAUCAUGCAGUACUUGUCUUUCUGUUCCUGGCUUAUUUUACUUAAUAUAAUGAUCAUCAGUUUCAUACAUGAUGCUACAAAUGACAGGAUUUUUUUUUAAAAAGAGCCCAUUCUUGCCAGGCACAGUGGGUCAUGCCUGUUAUCCAGUACCUUGGAAGCUGAGGCAGAAGGAUCACAAGUUCAAAGCAAGCCUUAGCAACUUAGUGAGGCCUUAAGCAACUUAGUGAGACCCUGUCUCAAAAUGAAAAGGGCUGGAUGGGGCUGGGGUUGUAGCUUAGUGGUAGAACACUUGACUUGCGCAUGUGAAGCACUGGGUUCAAUUCUCAGCACCACAUAAAAAUAAAUAAAUAAAAUAAAGGCAUUAUGUCCAUCUACAACUUAAAAAAAAAAAAAAGGCCUGGAGAUGUGGCUCAGUGGUUAAGUGUCCUUGGUACAACCCCUGGUACCAAAAAAAGAAAAAAGAUUUCAUUCUUUUUUAUUCCCGAAUAGUAUUCCUUUAUGCAUAUGUUCUGCAUUUUCUUUAUCCAUUCAUCAGUUGAUGGACACUGAGGUUGUCUCCAUUUCUUAGCAAUAGACCUGGCAGUGCAAUGUCUUCUUUGUUCAAUUCUUUGUAAACUUCAUGCAUGAAUGAUGUCUUGAUUGGGUUUAGGAUUCUCCAUCCUCCCUACUGGGGAUUGAACUCAGGUGUGCUUUACCACUGAGCACCAUCCCCACCCCUUCAUUUAUUUAUCUUUUGAGACAGGGUCUUGCUAAAUUAUCUGGGCUGGCUUUGAAUGGUGAUCUUACCUCAGCCUCCUUAGUAGCUGGGAUUACAGGAGUAUGCCACUCAGCCUAGCUGGGUUCAGGAUUCUUGAAAUACUCGUCUUAGUCUCUAUAAAGACUGUAAGCAGCUUUUCACUAUCUUGAUUUUCUAGUGAUACAGAUGAGAAGUUCAGUGAAUAGGAUUUUUUUUCUUUUGUGAAUAAUAACCCGUUGUCUCUGGAGGUUUCUGAAUUUUUUUGUUCUUGCUUAGAGUUUCACCAUAAUAUGCUGAGGUAUAUUUUUUUGGAGGGUACCAGGGAUUGAACUCAGGGGCACUCGACCACUGAGCCACAACCCCAGCCCUAUUUUGUAUUUUAUUGAGAGACAGGGUCUCACUGAGUUGCUAAGUGCCUCGCUGUUGCUGAGGCUGGUCCUCCUGUCUCAGCCUCCCAAGCCGCUGGGAUUACAGGCAUGUGCCACCGCACCCAGUCAGUAUCUUUUUAAAGUAACCCUGCUGGGCACUUGAUGAGCUUAAAUCUUUCUUAAAGGACAUUGUAUUGCUUUCCUUCUUUCUGUUUCUAGUCUCCUUACUUUAUAGAAGAAGAAACUGAAACCAAACCCAGAAAGAUGAAAUGUCUUGCCUAUAAUCAUAUAGUUAUGAUUGAACCUCAAGAUAACUUGAUUCUUUGAACUAAAAUUUUAUUGUAUUAAUAUUGCUUCAGUGAGUGGGCCAUUUUGAAUAAUUUGGAAAGUUUUUAGUGAAACAGGAAUUUUGGAAAGGGUUCAUGGGGAGGUGAACAAGGAAGAAAAGAUAAUAAAAUUCAUUACAAUUAAAAUAUAGCCACGUCCAGGUGUGGUGGCACACGCCUGUAAUCCCAGUGGCUCCAAAGCUUGAGAUAGGAGGAGCGAGAAUUCAAAGCCAGCCUCAGCAACAGUGAGGUGGUAAGCAACUCAGUGAGACCCUGUUUCUAAAUAAAAUAUAAAUUAGGGCUGGGGAUGUGGCUCAAUGGUUGAGUGCCCCUGAGUUUAUUAUUGGUAACCCCCCCCCCCCAAAAAAAAAAUGUGGCUAGGACUGAAGAUGUAAUUCAGUGGUAGAGCACCUGCUUGGCAUGCAUGAGGCCUUGGGUGUGAUCCCCAUAUUGAAGAAAAAAAAAAAAAAAGGAAAAUCUGCCAUUUUUGAAAGACUAAAAAGUUUAUAAGUCCCUUACUAUCACAAUUAAUGAGCUACCCCAAAGCUCUAAAACUGAAUAAAACGAGAAAGUUGCUUAAGCACUCAGGGAAUUAGAUAUUUAGUAGUCAGUGGAUAAGAGUGGUCAUGCCCUGUUAUAAAUAUUGGAAAACAUAUAAAUGGCAUCUGAAGGCUGGCUUGGAGACAGACAUCAUAAACCAUGUCUUAUCACUGGUCUGGUUUCUGUUUUGAGUUCCAUCCUGAGACCCUUUUCUGAUGGGAACCACCUGUUCCUAGCUCUAUUGAUCUUUGGAUUUCCCCAGCUCUACAGUACCUUUCAGUUUUGAAAUGAAACCUACCUCAGAGGGUGAGGUCAAGUACCAAGAGGACUUUGACAGCUCACACCAGGUUGUUUUAUUUUCCAGGGCUGUCUGGUAUGUGUCUGCGUGAGCUGUGAGGCUCAGCAAACUGUGAUAGAGAGUAAUUGAUGAUGAAUCAGCUAUUGUGUAAGGCCUGGGCAGUGUCAUUUCUUUGGGUGACCAGGAAAACAUGAGGAAGUACGUUGUGUUUUAUCCACAGAAAGUUGAAAGUUAAGAGCACAGUCCACCAGAGAGCUGCCUAUGAUCUCUCUGCCUUUGGUUCACUUAAGAAGGAGAAGCUUUAUCUCAGCUGCUUCUUUCUUCAUUUGUAGAAUCUACUCACCUCCUUUUUAUUCAAGCCUCUAGCCUCCUCUUGCUGCUCCAUCUAUAGUAAUCCUUUAUAGUGUGCUUCCUAGAAUUGCUGCUUUGUGAAGUGACUCCUUUAGAUACCCUUCCUUCCAACUUGGCUCUUCACAAAAUACAGCUUGUCUUGCUCCCUUUGCUGUAAACCUGGUUUCCACCAGAUUACAGCACUUCACUUGGAAUCUUUACAAAUAGAACUAGCUCACCCUUUAAUUCACCCUUAAAUGACUUUGCCUGAUUGUCCUCAUCCCCAUUUCCCAGCACUUGGGAGCUGCUUUUAGACCUUCAAAUAUCUUUUCCCCGUUGAGAUUUCUACCUGAUCCUUGUGAUCCUUGUUCUUUCUUUCUUUUUUUUUUUUUUUUUUGUACCAAGGAUUGAAGCCAAGGGUGCUUAAACACUGAGCCACAUCCCCAUCCUUUUACAUAUUUUAUUUAGAGACAGGCAGGGUCUCUCUGAGUUGCUUAAGGCCUUGCUAAGUUGCUGAGGUUGGCUUUGACCUCCCUUUCUAGGCCUGUGGCCCUACUUGGGGGUUCGGUGGCUAGGACUGACCUGGGGCCAAGGAUUCAGAAUAGAGUGUGGAAUUAGGGGGAUUGGUGUUAGCAUUUUCAGAUUUGGGCAGAUAGGAAGCCGGAAGAUGUGAACAUGAAGACUAGUGGAGUGUGGGAGGGACAAACAGAAGAUAUCUUUUAUAGGCUUCCUCUUUUGCCCAUUCUGUUUUGGAAAAAAAAAAAUUUUUUUUUUUUUAACUUAGAGAAAAAAGGGUGAUUACUAAAAAACAAAAAAUCCCCAAAAGGGUAAUUGCUGUUUGGGGUUUGGGGUAUGGCUCGGUGGUAAAAGGAGUGCUUGCCUAGCGCUCAAGUCUCAUUGCAUAUCUGCAAUCCCAGUUGCUCAGGAAGCUGAAGCAGGAGGAUCACAUAUUUGAGGCUAGCCUCUCCAAUUUAGCAAAGCCCUAAGCAAGUUAGUGAGACCCUGUCUCAAAAAACAGGAAAAAAGUGGGGGCUGGGGCUGCGGAUAUAGCUCAGUGGGAAAACACCUCUGGGUUCAAAGAAACAAACAAAAAGGCCCUGGAUUUGAUCCCCAGCACUACAAAAAACAAACAAACAAACAAACAAAAAAACCACCAGAAACAUACAUACACACACACACACACACACAAAGUAUAAUUUAGAAAGAAUAUGGCAAGUUAUCUUUUUAAAAAGUCAAAAUAUUGUAAACAUAUAUAUAUAUGUUUUUUGUUUAUUUGUUUUGGCACUAGGGAUUUAACCCAGGGACCCUUUACCACUAAGCUAUAUCUCCAGUCCUUUUUAUUUUUUAUUUUGAGACAGGGUCUCCUAAAUUGUUGAGGUUGACUUUGAAUUUGGGAUCCUCCUUCCUCAGCCUACUGGAGUUGCUAGGAUUACAGGCAUGUACCAUUGUGCCCAGCUGUAGAAAAUAUUUUGACUACUCCCCCCAUCUCAAUUAUUUUUAUAGUCCUUAGUGGUAACACACUGGUGUUUUAGAAUGAAACUUUCAGACUACUUUUUUCCCAUGAGUUUAUAUCCAUUUGUAUGAAGUGCAUUUUGGUGAUUUAUUUACACAAAUAUUAUUACAUUUUAUGUGUCAUUCUGGUAUUUCCUUUGUUUUUUUUUUAAAUUUUUUUUAGUUGUAGAUGGAUAUAAUAUCUAUUUUUGUGUGGUGCUAAGGAUCUAACCCAGUGCCUCACAGCGCAAGGCAACUGCUCUACCACUGAGCUGCAGCCCCAGCCCCUCCUUUUUUGUUUUAAGAAUGUGCCUUGCCAGUAUUCCAUAUUAGUACAUAAAGAUACAUUUCGUUCUUUUUAAAAAAAUAUUUAUUUUUUUAGUUGUAGUUGGACACAAUACCUUUAUUUUAUUUAUUUUUAUGUGGUGCUGAGGAUUGAACCAUGUACUAUGCGAGCACUCUACUGCUGAGCCACAACCCCAGCCCCACAUCUCAUUCUUUUUGGCUUCUGUGUAGUGUUCCAUAGACUGGCUAAUAACUUUUUUUUUUUUUUUUUUUUUGUACCCAGGGAUUGAACCCAUGGGUAGUUAGCCACUGAGCCACAUUCCUAGCACUUUUUAUUUUUUUUUAUUUUGAAAUAGGACCUUGCCAAGUUGUUGAGGCUGGCUUUGAACUUACAAACUUUCUGCCUCAGCCUUCUAAACUGCUGGGAUUACAGACAUGCACCACCACACCUGGCAAUAUUUAACUCUUCUAUUGAGGGAGAUAAGAUAUUUCUAGUUUUUUAAUAUAAUAAAUGAUUCUUGUUUUAAAUGUUGGCAUUCUGCUGUUAGGCCUUUUCCACCGCCCUGUGCUUUUCCUCGUACUUACUCUGGGUGAUCUCAGCCUCUUUGACAGUUUGUUACCAUCUACAUGUGGAUGAUUCCCAAAUCUCCAGCCCAGAUCUUUCUCCAGACCAGAAUAUCCAACGGCUUAAUGGAAAACUCCACUGGAAUGUCUUUUAUUCAUGACAAAACACAGUCUCCUGCUUUGUCCCACUUGUUGUUUCUCCAAUGCCCUAUCAUAUACAUUGUAAUUUAGCAUGUAAUGACUGAAGCCCAAAACCUAGUAGGGAUGGAUAGUUCUUCCUUCUUUCCCACAUCUGAUGACCAGUUAGUCACUAGGACUUGUCUUCCUUCCAUCCUCAGAUUUUUAUUUUCUUUUUUUCCUAAGCACUAGGAAUUGAAUCCAGGGCCCAUUAUUGCUGAGCUACAUCCCCAGCUUUUUUUUUUUUUUUGAUAUAGAGCCUUGCUAAGUUGCCCAGGCUGGUCUCAAACUUGAAAUGCUCCUGCCUCAGACUCCUGAGUUGCCGGGAUUAUAGGCAUGUACCACCAUACCCAGCUCUUCAAUGUUUCUUUUUUUUUUUUUUAAUUUAUUUUUUAUUAGUGCAUUGUAAUUAUACAUGAUAGUGGGAUUCAUUAUGCCAUGUUUGUAUAUGUAUAUAACAUAAUUUUCUUAGGCUUCUUCCUUUUCCCUUCCUUGAUAUUUCUUGAAUCUAGUCAUUUUCAUUUUUCAUUGCUACUACCCUAUACCUGGGUUUCCUAAUUUAAAAAACCAUAUUGUGAGCAUUUAAAUGAAAAAGAAAUCUAUCUAUCAUUCUACUUACUUGAAUAUCUAUCUAUCUCUAUAUAUCCCUACCUCCAUUCCAUUCUCCACACUGUAAUAAUCUUUAUAAAAUAUAAGGAUGAUUAUGGAGUUAUUCCUCUGCCUAAAAAUAGUUCAGUGAUAUAUCUGUUAGGCUUUUGUUCAUGUUAUCUCCACCUAGAAUCCUUUCCUAUUUGAUUUUUGAAAGGCUGGCUUCCUUUUAUUGAGAUACCGGCUUUUAAGAUAGAUGCUGAUGGCAUAUGCUUGUAAUCUCAGUGAUUUAGGAGGUUGAGGCAGGAGGAUCACAAGUUCAAGGUCAGUCUCAGCAGUUUAGUGAGACUCUCAGCAUCUUGGACUCUGUAUUUCAAAAUAAAAGGGACUAGAAUGCUCAGUGGAAAAUUGUCCCUGGGUUCAAUCCCGUACCCCAUAGCCCUACCAAAAAAAGAAAGAGAGAGAUAUACAAGCUUUUAAAUGUCAUCUCUUCUGAGAGGCAUUCCUCAGACUGAUUAAUAAUUUUAAAAGUAGUCACCAGAUAUUUUCUAUUCCAUUAUCUUAUUCUUUGAGUAAUACUUAGUACUAUCUGAUAUUUUUCUGAUUUAUUUGCAUAUUUGUUUAUAGUAUUCUUUAAUUAGAAUUUGGCCCUUUUUAUUGUCAUUCUACUUACUUGAUCACCUUUGGUAAUUCCAGUGUUUGCCAGGAUGAAUUUCUAACAUGCUUGACUUGAAUCAUCUAAUGUGCUUGUGUUUAGUUUCCAAAUCAUGUUCAUGAAACUAGAGUAAACCUGACAGGGGACUUGCCCAUGAAAGGGACAUGUAUGCUUAGGAUGAAAUGGAGAACCAGUGUAGGAAGAUUGUUAACUCAGGUAGGAAGAUUGGCUGAAGACAGAAUAACUGAGAGUGGAACAAAAUUGUAAGCAAGGUGAGAAGCAAAAGGCCUGAGGGAUAAGGCGAGGCAAAGAUGAAACAGGAAGCUGAACCAUUAGGUCAGAAACCUAGAGAAUCAGGAUAGUGUAAGCAGGGACAGGGCCAGCAGUUCAGGAUUAGGGUCAUAAAUCAACUUGGGGACUACUUAAAUCAUCUUUUAGUAGUCUUACCUUUUUCAUCUAGAAACAGCUUUUGAAUUAUCAGGUCAUUGACCUACAAGUGUUUGAGUGAGAUUGCAUAUUCUUUUCUUUGUAUUUUAUUUGCUAUUUAUUUUAAAAUCAAAGUCUACCUUACCUAUCCUCCCUCAGAUUCUGCUACCAGAUUCUGUUACCAGAUUCUGUUUUGUAUUCCUUUAAAUAUAUCAGGUUCAACUAUCUCUGAAAUAAGUUUCUUAUAUGAAAGCCUGAAGCAGUCCUGGAGUUCCAUUCAGGUAGGAUGAAAGGAGGGAGCACUCCUCAGACCAUCUCUUCCCACUGAACCAGGCAUAGGAGCUCAGCAGCCUCAGGAAUUCAAGACUCUGUUGAGACUGAAUCUGGAAUUUUGGGAGGGUCAUAAGAGUUUAGACUAUAGGAAGGAAUUCUAUCAAUGAAGCAUAGUCAGAAUUAGUAGAAGACUGAGUAGAUAUGUGUAGAUGGCAGGAUCUAAGGGUGUGGAGUAGAUUUCAAGAUUUCUGAUCUGGAAUGGUCCUCAAAUUAGGCAAUGUUAGGGGCUCUGAUAUACCAAGUAGAGAGUCAUUAGUAGUACUAGUCCUUAGCCCUUAGAUGUUUUUUGUAUUUUACUGUGUAGCCUAGAGCUCUUCUAUAUGCUGAGAAGGAGUCAUGAGAGUAGAAACAGUACUAACUGAGAGCAGAAGUAGUUUCUCUCUCUCUCUCUUUUUUUUUUUUUUGGUACCAGAGAUUGAACCCAGGGGUGUUUAACCACUGAAUCACAUCCGCGGCUCUUUUUAUUUUGAGACAGGGUCUUGUAAGUUGCUUAGGCUGGCCUUGAACUUGUGAUCUUCCUGCCUCAGUCUCUGUAGUCACUGGAAUUACAGGCAUACACCACUACACUCAACGAACAGUUUCUCUUUUGAAGGUUAGAUGGAGUGGUUGUGUGUGCAGAGUGGAUAGUCUAUAGCCAGUCAUCUGGCCUGUGUAAGGCAAGACAUCUACACUCCCCUUCUAGGGCUCUGUUGGGAAAAUUAGGCUAAGAGUCAGCAAUUGUGACCAUUGUUCAUGAUUUCCCCAUGUAUUCCUGGUCUUUGCUUAUCCCGCUGCUCUAAGCUCCAGGCUCUGAUGUUCUGCCUUCUCUUUUAUGGUUUAAGGCCUUCAAAUUGCAUAUUCAUUCUGAAUUCUCCUUCUAGAUUAUUCACUCCAUACCCAGCUUGGCUUUGCCCCUAUAUCAUCCCCUAAUUUUGACAUUGCUAUCCAGGUUUAAGUAAGGGCCUUCCUCCAUUAACCCUGUUUCUAGAGCUAUUAUUUUUAAACUUUAAUGUGUAGAAAUUACCCAUGGAGUCAAGUGGGAGCCUGGAUACUUGUUUAAAACAGACUCCUGUUCUCUUCCUAGAUAUUCUGAUUCAUUAGAUGUGAAAUGGUGACCAGGAAUCUAGUUUGAUCAUCUUCCAGGCUGAUUCUGACCCUUGACAGAGGUCCCUGUCAGCUCCUCAUCCCUAAAAGAGCAGGAAGAGAAUUUGAAUCCUUUAUUUGGGUUUUAAGAUCCUAGAACCAUAGUCUUGUUGCCUGUCAUGCAAUGAUGACAGUGUCUUAUAUUCUGUCCCUCCAUCUCCUAUGAGAGUGCCAGAACAUGAGACACCGUAGGAACAGAGCCCAGGUGAGGUGGAAGACCUUAAUAUCUCUCCAAUUGCAGAUCAGUAUCUUUGGGGUUUAUAGAGAACUUUGGCACUGGACUUAGAGAAAGUAGGUUAAUGUAGACCCUGAGGCUGCCAGUCACACUUCAGAUUUGCCUCUGGAGUUCUUCUCAUUUUUAUUUACAUUGACUGUGCUCUGACAUUGGUUUUCCUUAUCUAACCUUGAAGCUGCCCUCACUCUCCAUUGUGGCCAUCUUCUAUACUGCUUCCAUCCAUCUUUCUAUGGACAACUUGAUGUUAUCUUUCUCCUUUAAAAUCUUCUGUUACAUCCCUAUUACCUAUAUACUCAAGUCCAAAUGUAUCAGGUUGGAAUAAACAAUCAUGAACAAUUUGGCCCAAAUUGUCUAAAGAUCUGCAAUAUCUUAUGUUUCUCCAAUCUCAUUCCAGGCUACUCUCCUCCUUCCUUACUCCUACCUUCACUUGCUUACAGUGGCUUGAUCAUUUUUCCAGCUAUUUCUGGCCUCAGGGCCUUUGCAAUACCAUAUGGCCUCUGCCUGGAAUACUUUUUACCUUGUACUUUAUCUCAUUAACUAUCCUUUGACUUACCAUGUCAACUAAUAUUAGUAUUUGUAUAAAAAAGAGGGCAACUUUGUAUAUCUGUAUAAUCUCCUCUUAGAGAUCUUUUUUGGCCACUGUAUAUCAAGAAACUAUCUUAGUCUUCCAUUGGCUUUAGUCAGAUCACUUAAUGCUAUUUACCUGUUUGUCUUUCUCUCCUUUUAGAUUAUAAGCUCCAUGAGGGCAGGGGUCUUCUUGUUCAUGAUUGUAUUUUCAGUACCUUUUGCAUAAAGCCACUCAAUAAGUCCUUGUUGACUAAUCCAUAUUUUUGUUUUCUUUUUAGUAUCUGUUUUGCUGCAUUGUGGCUCUGCACAGCUCUUGCCCUUUGCAUAAGCUGUUGCCUGUCCCAGAAACACCCUUUCUCUUAUUAACUUGUCAGAUUGCUUCUUGUCCUCUACUGUUUCUUUAAGCAUUUUUUUGACCUUCCCAGGUUGUGCUGGUUCAACAGAGACAGUGUUUUGUUCCUCUUGAAUAGGUUUUCUCACCCUGUGUUGUGAUUUUGCCUAUGUGAAAGAUAGGUGGUAUUGCCAGUUUUAUAGGUGACCAACUGGAGGCUCUGAGAGAUUAAUUAACUUGAAAAUAGGAAAUCUGAUAAUUUGAACCCUGAGAAGCCCUGUUCUACUUCACUAUGCUCCCUCCAAAAAAAAAAAAAAAAAUCAGCAGAUAUAGAAACACUGAAGUCAAAGGGGUGCUUAUUAUUAUUAUUAGUUAGGAAAACUACUGUGUAUGCUCUUUAAAGUAUCCUGAGAGUUAAACACAGUAAAAUAAGUAAUAUUGAUAAGCCAUUAGUAGGGAUAAUAGAGAAAAAGGGUGACUGUAGUGUUCAAAGGAUGAUGUAUAUUUCAUGUAUUUUCUUGGUCAUAUCCUUGGUGACUUUUUUUUUUUUUUUGGCUACUGGGAUUGAAUCCAGGGUUGCUUUACCAUGGAGCUACCACCCCAGCCCUUUUUAUUUUUUAUUUUGAGACAGGGUCUUGCUAAGUUGCUGUGGCUGGCCUUGAACUUGUGGUCCUCCUUCCUCAACCUCCCGAGUCGCUGGAAUUAUAGGUAUGCACAACUGCGCCCAGUUCUCCUUAGUGUCUUCUUGUGAUUCUGAGAAAACUAACCUACAGCUUGGUAGAAAUGAUGUGGAGCACUAUUAAAUUCAAACCAAAGCAGUUAUCAAUAAUUAACUCAUGAUUUCUUAGAGGAUAUAUGAAGAAUGACGUCUGAACAUUUUUUUUUUUUUUUUGAGGGGAACAAUGUGUAGAGAGCCAUCAGUACAUUUUGCUUAAAAAUAUAUGGGCUAGGGGUGUAGCUUAGUGGUAGAGUGCUUAUCUGGCUUGUGUGAGGCCAGAUAACAGCAAUAACAACAGCAACAAAACAUUGAUAAAAACUAGUUGAAUAAAUUAUAAUGGAUAUGUUAGCUUUCAUUGCUGGGACAAAUUAGUUGAGAAAAUCAAUUUAAAUAAAGAAAGAUUUAUUUUGGCUCAUGGUCUCAGAGGUUUCUGUCCCUGUUUGGCUGGCUCCAUUGUUUUUGGGCCUGUGGUGAAGCAGUACAUCAUACUGAGGAGGGUGUGGUGGAACACAGUCACUCACCUCAUGGUAACCAGGAAGCAGAGAGAGGGAAAGGGGCUAUGGACAGGAUAUAGUCUCUAAGGGCAUGCCCCUAAGGGCUCUGAACCAACUGGAUUCUAUCUCCUACAGUUUCUACCCCUUCCCAAUAGUCUAUUUAGCUUUGAAUACUCAAGUGAAUUAAUUCGUUGAUGAGGUCAGAGUCCUCAUGAUCCAAUCAGUUCCCAUAAUUCCCAGUUUUGAACAGUGCUGCAUUAAGAAUAAGUCUUCAUAGGCUGGGGAUGUGGCUCAAGCGGUAGCGCGCUCACCUGGCAUGCCUGCGGCCCCGGGUUCGAUCCUCAGCACCACAUACAAACAAAGAUGUUGUGUCUGCCGAAAACUAAAAAAUAAAUAUUAAAAAAAUUCUCUCUCUCUCUCUCUCUCUCUUUAAAAAAAAAAAAAGAAUAAGUCUUCAACACAUGAACUGUUGGGACAUUCCAGAUCCAAACCAUAAAGGUGGUUAUUGCUGUAUUAUGUAGCUAUCAAAAAGAAUGAUACAAAUACAUACUGGUGUGGAGACCUAUUAUUAAGAGAUAACUAGAGAGAGGUACAUAAUAGUAUUUAUGGUUAUUGUGCUAGUAUUACUAUUCAUAUGAGAAAAAAGGGCAAAUUUAUAUACCUAUUACAUACCCAGACUAAAAAAAAUUGGGGAAUUUUGAUUGAUUUUGAAACUUAAGAUAACCUGUGUACAACAGAGUAUCACACUAUUUUUCUUGCUCUUCCUACCAUUUGUUUUAUUAGCAUCUUUAUUCUUCCUGUUCCAUUCAAUAGAAAUCUUGGAACCCCCCUGCCCCCACACACACACCCCUGCACUUUUGAGGUAUUGGGGAUUGAACCUUAGGGCCUUACACAUGCUAGACAGGUGCUAUACUGCUGAGCCACAUCCUCAGUCCUUUUUGAAUUGGAUUGGAUUGAAUUGAAUUUAUUUAUUUUGGUGCUAGGUAUUGAACCUAGGGGCACUUAACCAUAGAGCCACACCCCCAACCCUUUUUAUUUUUUGAGACAGGAUUUUACUAAGUUGCUUAGGGUCUUGCUAAGUUGUGGAGACUGACCUUGAGCUUGAUAUUUUUCUGCUUUAGCCUCCCAAGUCACUGGGAUUACAGGUGUGCAUAAACCACGCACUUGGCUAGGAGCAAUCCUUUUUAAAAAAAUGUGUAUGUAUGUUGCUUUUGAUUUCCCAAAUGGAGUAAGUUCUCAAAGGAAGGAGGCAUCUCUUAAGAUUUUAUCCUAUAGUGAGUAGCAUAAGAUUUGCUUAUUAAACAUUCAACAAAGAUGAGAAAGAAAGACUCUUCUAUAAAAGGAAUGAUUGUUUUUUUCUGACACAUCUUGCAUACUUCUCUAGCAGGUUGUUUCUUCUCUUUGACAGACUUAAGUGUGUUGGGGGCUUGGGGAGUGGGGGAGGGGUGGGGAGAGAGGAAAGUAGGGGAUGAGGAGAGGAAGGAGAGAAAGAAAGAGAAAAUGAAUUUGUGAAUGUUUCCUGCUGAAAGCCCAGGAAAGCAGCAGAAGACAGAUUGGGGCCUAAAGUCUCUGGUCAAAUAGUAUGUAGUUUGAGACUUCUGUGUCAUAGCCCUAGGAGAACCUCAAAUUUCCAUCCUCUUUCUAGUAUCAGGCCUGGAUAUUUAAUCAGGUUAGCAGGUCAGCUGAACCUGAAUGUUCCUUUGACGUCUUAAAUUCAAUAGCACAUAGUAGGAAUAUGAUAAAAAGUAAUUAUGAUCAAAAGUGAUUUUUUUAAUAAAUUUUUUUAAUAUUUAUUUUUUAGUUUUAAGUGGAUACAAUAUAUUUAUUUAUUUAUUUAUUUGUUUGUUUAUUUAUUUAUUUAUUUAGUCAGUCAGUCAGUCAGGGAUUAAACCCAGAGAUACUUUACUGAGCUACAUCCCCAGCCCAUUUGUAUUUUAUCUUUUCAGGGUCUCACUAAAUUGCUUAGGGCCUCACUGAGUUGCUGAGGCUGGUUUUGAACUUGAGAUCCUCCUGCCUUAGACUCCUAAGUUGUUGGUGUUAUAGGUGUGGGCCACUGUACCUGGCUCCUCCAUCCCUCUUGUAUCCCCUUUUCACCCUGUGAGUGACCUGGCUUCUGGAAAGAAGAGGGAAAGGAUGAGGGAGGAUGGGGAAAGUUAAAGAACUUGGGAGGGUGUGUAGAUGUGCUCUCCUUAUUCUUUUUUAUUUAUUUAUUUAUUUUUAAAAUUUUUUUAAACAUUUUUUUAGAGAGAGAGAAUUUUUUAGUAUUUUUUUUUAGUUAUCGGCGGACACAACAUCUUUGUUUGUAUGUGGUGCUGAGGAUCGAACCCGGGCCGCACGCAUUCCAGGUGACGUGCUACUGCUUGAGCCACAUCCCCAGCCCCUCCUUAUAUUCUUUCUGGAACAAAGUAUGGGGAAGAAGAUAUGUAAGUGGGUGGGAGAACAUACACACUACCUGUACCACUUUCCUAGCACUUAAUCUGAACCCUUGUUUAUUAUUAACCAUCUCUUUAUGUGCUAAUCCUCUCUCACAGAGUAUAAGCAUGUAUAUGUGUAAAAUUUUUUUUUUUUUUUUUUGUAUUGGGGAUUGAACCUAGCGGGUGCUUUCUUUACCAUUGAGCUACAUUCCCAGGCUUUUUUUUUUGAGACAGGGUCUCACUAAGUUGCUUAGGGCCUUAGCCUUUUGAAUUGCUGGGAGAGAGAGAAAAAAAUAAAAAAGAGAGGAAAAAAAAAAAAGAAAGUAGCACAUGACUUUCUAUAGUUUUAAUCACACUGGGCAUUGCAGGGUUUUUUUUGGUACUAGGUAUUGAACCCAGGGCACUCAACCAUUGAGUUACGUCCCCAGCUCUUUUUUAUAUUUUAUUUUGAAACAGGGUCUUGCUAAGUUGCUUAGGGCCUUGCUAAGUUCCUGAGGCUGGCUUUGAACACACUAUCCUCCCGCCUCAGACUCCCGAGCUGCUGGAAUUACAGGUGUGCACCACCAUGGCUGGCUGGCAUUGUGUUUUUUGUCUUAUCCAUCCUACAGGUGAUAUAUCUUAUCCGUCUAACAGGUCACAUGAUAGUCAAGAGUAAAGAAGGUGUCUUUGGAACUAGCUUCUUAUAGCCUGAAUUCUGACUCAACUGCUUGUUGUGUGACCAAGUCAUUUACCUUCCUCUGUCUGAGUUUCAUCUUUAGUAAAGUAGGGAUGAUAAUAGCACCUAUUUUAAAGGAUUAUUAUAAGGAAUAAAUCAGUUCAAUUAAAAUGUUUAGAAUAUCAACUGGGGUAUAACACUCAAUAAAUAUGAUUUAAUUUGUAUUUUUUGAAUAUAAAAGAUUGAACAUCUUUACAAAUAUAUUUUGGAUUUUGUAUUUUUCUCUUUGACUUAUUCAUGUCCUUUGAACAUUUUUCCAAUGAUUUUUUUCUUUCUUUCUUCCUUUUAUUUCCCCCGCCCAGUGCUGGAGGUGGAACCCAGGGUAGUACUGUAGUAAACCUGUUUUGCUUUGUCUUUGUCCUCAUCAUCUCUUUUCAGAACUCUAGUUCCAUUCUUUAACUCAAGAUGGAGGUAAGGUGAUUCUUAUAUAACAGAGCACUUACAUGUCCUGUUGGCAGCUGCUGCCUGACAGAAACAAUAAUGACGGGUGAUUAACCUUUACAUAGAAUGCAUUAUAGCAUAGUCUGGAGCACUGACACACAUAAGCCCCUUAUUAUGAGUUUGAUGCUCUGUUAGGUCCAUUCCCCCAAAAUUCAUAUACACAUCCAGAACCUCUGAAUGUGAUCUUAUUUGGAAAUAGGGUUUUUGCAGAUAUAAUCAAGUUUCAGAUGAUCCUAUUGGCAGAUCCUAAUCCAAUGACUUUCUAAGGAGAGAGAGAGAUACAGAUGGUCACAUGACAGUGGAGGCAGAGAUUAGAGUUAUGCUGCUAUAAGCUCAGGAAUGGCUUUGCACUCCAAGGAUUGCCAGCAACCACAAGAAACUAGAGACGGCAAGGAAGAACUCCUUAGAGCUUUAAGAGGGAGUGUGAGCCUAUUGACACCUUAAUUUCAGACUUGUAGCUUCCAGAACUGUGAGAUAACAAAUUUCUGUUUUAAGCCAUCCAAUUCAUGUCAAUUUGUUGUAGCAGACCUAAGGAACUAAUAUAUGCUGUUACCAUCAUCUCCAUGUUCAGAUAAAGAAAACAGAAACCCAAAGAGGUGAGGUACUUUGAGAUCUCUGUAGAUACUGCUCUGAUUUUCUGGCUCCUGCUGAUGCUCUUGUUGGCUUUCCACCUUCCCCAACUUCUGGCAGUGCCAGAACUGAGCUCCUGAUAUGUCUCCCUUGUCUAACAUAUCAGGCCAUAGCCUUUCACCAGUUCUUACCCACUUCAUAUUGUAGUGCAGAAACUCAUUUCAAGAGACUUCUGAUGGUAUCCUGACCAUUAUAAUCAGUCUCUUUUUCACAGCUUUCCUCCUUUUUAAAUUAUUUUUCAUGCAGUCAGAGACCUGAUGUGACAAGAUUGGGGAUAUCCCUCAGCUGAUUCUGGCCAUUGUUUUUAUGAUUCCUGCUUCUGGCCAGUUGUAUCUUUUAGAAUUUCUGUUCUGAUAGCUCAGAUUUUGUGUUUUUAUUUGAAGUUUUCAGGAUCUCACAGCUUUCAGAACAUGGCUAUGAGCAGAAAAGGAGCAACUGUGUGGCUGCACCAGCUGUGAGGGGCAUCAGUCAUCAUGUUAUUGAUGAACUCAACCCAUCACAGUGGUUCUUUCCCUUGCACAUAGGAAGUGAGGGGUGGAAGUCAUUCUCUGAACCAGCUCAUCUUGAAUAGCUCCUUGACUGCUUAUGGACUCUUCUGCUGCCAUCUCAUUGCUGGCUGAGGAAUCUUGUUUUGCAGUAUAGACCUUUGGCUGUGGAUCCUGUUUUUAUUCUCAGCUACUCUCACUAGACUGUGAGCUCCAGGAAUAUGGGAACCAUAUCUGUUUAGUUCGUUACUCAGGAUAAGCAAAGACCUGGCACUUACUAGCCCCUCAGGAAGUGUUUGCUGAAUGAAGAAAUGAAUAUUGACCUUGAAGUUUCAGACUCUUGGUUUUUCUUCCCUCUUCCUGAAGCAAAGGGCCAAAUUAAGAACUUUAAAGUUUAAAGCAUUUGAGUCCUUAGUGUAUAUAUCAAAAUCAGUAUUGAAUGCAAAAAAGUAUAAGGAAAUACAGCAAAGAAUUAGGAAGAUGUAGUAAAAUUCUGAUUUUUAUUGUAGUGACUACUUUGAUAAAUAUAAAAUAAUUUAAGGGCUGGGGUUGUGGCUCAAAUGGUAGAAUGCUUGCCUAGCAUGUGUGAGGCACUGGGUUUGAUCCUCAGCACCACAUAAAAAUAAAAUAAAGAUAUGGUGUCCACCUAAAACUAAAUAUAAACAUUUAAAAAAAUAAUUUAAAAUAUUUGUUGUCAUAGUCUCUGCCAGUUUCCUAAACACAUACUGUUGGGUAAUCCUGCCUGGACCAGUCCCUUCCUCACCUAGACUUCACUUUCAGUUCUUUAUACCACCUGCUGAAGCUGCCAGCCAGCCUUUUCCACCCACAAGAGAUGUCUGGCUCCUGAGAACCCAGUCUGGCUGGUAUUCCUGGCUCCCCAGGGGCUUUCCAGGAAAGUCAAGUUGAAUAUACACACAAAAAUGCUAAAGAAUACCUGGCAAUGAGAAUUCCUAUGCUGAAUGUUGAUUUAUAGUGAGCAUAGCACAUUGUGCCAGGUGAUUAUACUAAGGCUGAUUUUAGCAUAAUAAUCUGCUUCUGUGAUCCUGUAUAUGGUAAGCCUAGAAAUUACUCUGUGAUCCUUCUUUCUGGAUCAUGGUGAGAGAAAUUAGGAUGCAGAUCCUUUCUACUUCCUGUGUUAAUCGGUGCUUCAUUGAGACCAUUUUGAAAGGAAAAGAAAAAUGUGAUGUUGGAAAUGGGGCCCAGGCCUCCCAUAGACUGUUCCAAGGCUCUGACUAUCCUCAAAUUCUAUUGCUUGAUUCCAAAGAGUUUAAAAUAGUGUUGGAAACCUCCUAGGAAAAAAAGUAUCACUAUAACUUCCUGGCUAAGGAAGUGGUGUGUGCUGGCUAUAGCAGGAGGGGCAGCUAAGGCUCCCAAGUUCUAUUCUGGACCUGUUACUGAUUUGAGGUAUGACAGCAAUCCGAGCUGACAUUCUGUAGAUCUGAUUUCUCAUCUUCAUCUCAGAGAGUCAUGGAGGCUGUGUUCCCAAGGAAAGAGGUGACACUGUAGUCUUUUUAUCCUGUGGGAGAGUCUCACCAUUAUAAUUCUUUCAUUUGAAUUUUUAAGUUCCUUUUUAAAAUACAGAAACACCCCCACAGAGUUAAUGUAGGAACCCAGCAAUACUGUUUACAUUGUACUUGAAUUCAUUUCACCAUCAGACUUGCUUUCCUUUAACAGUGUGAUAGGUCAGCUCUCAUAAGAGAUAGAAUCUUGGGAACUUUGAUAGGGAUUAGGAAAGGAAAGGAAAGGAAGGUUUGUAUGGGGAACACUUCAUGGCUUUGGACAGCCAGAGAAUAUCUUGAGGGCACCAGGUGCAUAAUGAACUAAAUGGGGAAAAACAGAUAGUUACCCCUUGAGAGUCAAGCAUGUAUUAGAUGCUUUUCAUGUAUUUUCUUAAUUAUAAUAUGAACCAGUAAAAAAUAUCAUCCUCAUUUUUGUACAUAGGCAAGUUGAACAUUGAAGUUAUAUAACUUGCUCAUGGUCACACAACUAAUAAAAGGCUGAGCUAGGUUUAUUCCUUGUGUCUGUCCAGCUUCAAAGUCCAUACUACUUUCUAGAGCUUUUCUGUCUCUUGUGAGAUUUAGGAAAGGAGGAUGAGGAAAGACAGGAAGAUACUAUCUUUCUCUACCUCACAAUUUUGCUUGGAGUGAUCCUUUUAGCCAGAGGAUCCUGUUUAUAGAAUACUAGGCUCUCUAUAUAGAAAUGCUGCAACAACAUAUAUGGGAAUGAUACCAAUAGGCUGUAGGGGAGGAUUAAAAAAGCCUUUGUUCUUUACCUCUACAUUUUCAGUGUAGCCCACAAGUCAAAAAUAACCAUGGGUAACUGGCUUACUGCUUAAGUGGCUCCAUCCUGUCCUCCACAUGAAAUCUGAUGUGUCUCAAGGAGUAAGCUGUGAUGGGUAAGAGGUGAGGGUGUGGUAUGCCUUCACUGUGUGUGUUGGAGCUGGUGACACCUGUUGUGUGUCUGUUACAAUGAAUUAGUACUGAGUAAACAAGAGGUAUCUCUCUUUUGCCUUUCUAAGGGAGACCAGGUGGCAAAAAGUACUGGCCCUGAUCCAGGGGAUCCUGGUCUCUGGACUAGCAGAAGGGUGUCAGGUGAUGGAAUAAAAAGUCUGGUCUGUUAAGUGGUAUAAUUUCAGAGGUUCCAAUAAUGUGUCCUAUCCCUCAAAGACUUGGCACAGCUGUUUGUUGUUGCUUGGAAUUCCACAACUGAAAUUUCUCCCCCUUGAUUUAAAUCUCUGAGACCCUAUUGAAUAGUGGUAGAGAGUAUACUUAGCAUGUCCAAGGCCCUGGGGGUUCAAUUCCCAGCAAACACACACACAUCCCUCCAGGAAGGGAUUUGAUGAUAAAGCAUCUUGGUCAUAUAAAUGAAAGUGUAAAGGAGUUUGUGAAGUUGAUUCUGAGAACUAGACUAAGGAAGGAGUAGAGAAGAGAGGACACUGCCCACCUAGUUGUAGAAACAGAAAAAAGGCACAAUGAAAUUGAGGUAAAGGUGCUGAAAAGAGAAACUGACUCCCUAAAGAAACUAUUUCCUUCACAGUUUUGUUUAUAAAAAGACAAAUAGCUAGCUUGGCAUAGUGGCUUACAUCUGUAAUCACAGUGAUUUAGGAGGUUGAGGCAGGAGUAUUGCAAGUUUGAGACCAGCCUCAGCAACUUAGCAAGUCCCUAAGCAACUUAGUGAAACCCUGUCUCAAAAAAAAAAAAAAAAAAAGCUUAGGUUGUGGCCUCAGUGGUACACUGUCCCUGGGUUUAGUUUCUAGUACCAAGAAAACAAACAAACAAACAAACAAAAAAUAGGUGAGAAUAGAGGUUCUUAACCCCAAAAGAGGGGCUGCUGAGUAGAGAGAUUUUCCCACCAGCAUGCUAUAUUACAGACAGUGUUGUUUGGAGGGUAGUAACUAGGAGUGUAGAAGCUUUGGGUCUGUGGUUUGCUGUGAUGUCUUUAGAUGAGGUGGUCACAGAUCUUAGGAAGAGGGAGGUACAGCUUCCCAGAAGUGAUGCAACCUAGUGGCGCAAAAGAGGCCACCACUGACACCAAGGGCAGGGCACUUCCUCAGUGGCUGCUGGUCACAGACAACUUUUGCUCUGUUUCCCAGUGAGUUAUGUUGUGAUGGGACUUUGCUGGAAAACAACACAAGCCAUGUCAACAGCAAUGACAAAGCACUUGGAGUGUGUACACAAAGGUACAGUUCCCCCUUGCCCUACUAAAUAGAUCCAAAAACUUUUAAGGGUAGCCCUUAUGAUUCAGAUAUAGAAAUAUUUUUUUGGCCUGAGUUUCUCCAUAGUCUUCCUAGUUGACUGGGCAUCCACUUUCAUUUUUCAGUGUUCUCAAAUGGCCUUUAUGAUAUGAAUUCUCAUGGCUUUUCCUUCCCCAGGGAAUUUUUUCUGGGGCAACUCAAAUCCAUAUCCUUCUCAACUCCUCACAGUGUUGUUCAUGGAUUCCCUUCACCUGCAGGCUACAAAUUCUACUCUGAACACAGUCCCAUCUUAAGUCCAGAGCAACUUCUUUAGGUUUCAUUCAGUUCUCUUGGAUUUUAAGUCAUUUCUUUUGGUACAUUCUUUAGAGAGCUAUCAUGAAAAUGACCUCUAUUCUCUUCUCCCCAGUGUUUGAUAAGAUCUGGACCUCUUUUCUUAACAGAAUCAGCUCAACUCUGUGGAAGUUUCUGGAUAUUCCACACCCCUUUGUCUCUUCCCAACCUUCACAGCCUUCUACACCAAAUUAACUGGAUCUGCUGAUCACCAGCAUUUUGAAACCAAUGCCUGAUUUUGGGGCAUGUGUUCUGUGCCAUAAAUGAUAGUUCUCUGUCCACCCAAUCUCUGCCUCCUCUCCAUCUUACUAUUUUUGCCUUUUACCUAACAGUACCAGGCUUUGUCCAGCACCCUGCCUGGAACCCCAACCUUAUCCAGGACUAAAAUCCUGCUGUUGUCCCUCACCAGGGUCUGUGGCCUUUGCUUUUUUUUUUUUUUUAAGAAAAUGACAUUUAUUUAUUUUAUUUUUUUUAAAGAGAGAGAGAGAGAAAGAAUUUUUUUUUAAUAUUUAUAGUUAUAUUCGGCGGACACAACAUCUUUGUUUGUAUGUGGUGCUGAGGAUCGAACCCGGGCCGCACGCAUGCCAGGCGAGCGCGCUACCGCUUGAGCCACAUCCCCAGCCCUGGCCUUUGCUUUCCAGCCUUUCCUGGUCCAGGUAGCUUUUCUAAUAUUAAAGCCUUUUUCUUUUUUUUCCUCCUUCGAGGCUUCAGUAGGUAGAAUCCUUCCCAUGCAGUGAUCUCCUUGUACUGACCUCCUUGAACUCUGCCUACUGCUCAUUGUGCUAACUGGAUGUCAUUCUGGUCUGUCUGGCUGCUCUUCUGGAACAAGGCUGUUAGCUUAGAUGGACUUUUGUCCUGCUUUUCAUGCUAGCUCUCCAGCUGCCUCCGCCUCAAAAAGAGCUUUUAAUAAGCAUUAUAAAACUCCAAAAGGGAGGGACUUGGACUGUGGCUUAGCGGUAGCGCACUUGCCUGGGAUGUGUGAGGCACUGGGUUCCAUUCUCAGCACCGCAUAAAAAUAAAUAAAGGUCUAUUAACAACUAAAAAAAAAAGUCCAAAAGGGAAAUGAGAAUAUAGCAUUUUCCAAACUUAUUUAACUAGAGAACUAUUUUUUUUUUCUCCUGGAAAAUAUUUACUAGAAUUUUACAGAAUAUGGCAUUUGGUGGAAGAUAGUUUUUGAAAGUGUGAGGCUUUGCCUGCAAAAUGAACAGCAAAUGAAAUGAUUCCAGAUGAAAGUAAUAUGACAAUCAGUGAAAAAAUUCUUCGGGGGCAACAAAUGCUCUCUUGUUACCUACACUUUUUCACCAGUUUCUCUGGAAUCAUACCAUAUAUUAGACUACUUACUGCGCUUCUGCUUAGGCAGCUAUGAUCUAGAGUGGAGCUCUAAGGAUUCUGCAUUCUUUUUCCCAUUUUGAAUCCUUUCCUCCUUUUGUCUCCAUUGAAAUGGGAAGUGGUGAGUGAGGUGAUACCAUCAUGGCUAUAGAUGUCAUCAGUUCAUGGAUGCAAAGAAGGAGGGCUUCUCAAGGCUCCUUUACCCAGGUUUGACUUCUGUCAGGAUUUCUCUAAAACACUCUGAGCAACUCUUCCUCCUACUUUGGAACUGUUUGUCUCAGCAUCAGCCUUAAGUCUCAAUGCUGUUUCAGGAUUUUCACCUACACAUGGAGAUCAGUGCCAAGUAGCAUGGAGCUCAUUUUUAUGGAAUGGGUGAUACAUUUUAUACUUUCAGUAUUAAGUCCCUUUUCUUCUACAUCUCAUGGGCAGUAUGGAAUAUAGUAGUAUUUCUCAGUCCUUGAAUGAAGAUAGGUACUUGCUUUCUGAGUGGGGCAGUGUUACAAGUGGAGAGCCUUUUAAAUCUACAGGAUGGAUGAGCAAGUGCCAGGAGUUGUAGCUGGCUCAGCUGGUAACUAAAGAGAAGCCUGCCACUUUCUCUGCAUGCCAUUCGCAGUAUAGCUAGGAAAGGACCAUUCGAAGCAAAUAGAAAUCUCUAGGACUCCUGAUUUAAAAACUACUGGUCUUUUGAAGAUCCUGAUGUAUAUGUCUUUCCUUUCUUGAGUGAGAUUGUUCUUUGGCUGAUCUUAGAUUGUUAACUGAGCUAAUCCUAAAACAAAAUAGAUGGAAAGACUCAACUUUCAUCUAUACUUAGGUAUGAUGUUCUUUGAACAUCUAUCAUGUAGUAUCCUUUACCCACAAGGGGUGAAGAAGAGGCCUUGGGGCUUUGACCUGUAGUACUUGUCUGUCUGCUAUUUCCUUUGAAAGACUAUGGUUUGGUUUUUAUGAGAGAUAGGGUCUAGCUGUGUUGCCCAGGCUGGCCUAAAAUUUGAGAUCUUCCUGCUUUAGCCUCCUGAUAGUUGGGACUAUAGGGGCAUGUGAAGAUCAGGGAGUCAGCUCACUUCUAGGAAGGUACAAAGAGGACUUGAAAUGGGCACUCAGAGAUCUUAAAUAGAGCCUGUUGGUUAUAUUGUUAUUUUAUAGGUUUUUACUAAAUUGGCCUAUAUCUGUAAAAGACUUGUUUUCCCAUUACUAGAUUUUCCCUAACAGGUUCCCUAAAUGAGGCCAUUUCCUAAGAUUCUAUCCUUGGCCCACUUCCCACCUCCCUUUAUAUACUGUCUCUGGUGUGAUGCCAUCUGCUUAUGGUUUCAUCUUCUACUAAUAUGUCAAAUACUCUUAAACUUGUUGUCUAUAGCAUUUUUUUCUUCUGAGUUCCUAUCUCACAGUAACAAAAACACUAUUGAUAACUGUAACCUGGAUAGCAUUUAGGCAUCUAAAGUCAGCAUUUCAAGCCACAUUAAAUUCUUUAUCAACCCAUUCUCUUUCUCCUAUUCCAAAUCUCCUUCUCUUCCAGUUUUGUUCUUAGACUCAGGUAUGUCACUAUCGGGCAUUACUUUUGCAUCACCAUCUUCCACUGUUCCCCUAUUAGAAAUUUAAUAGUCUCUGAGUAUAAUGUAAGGUGUUUAGUAUGAGCCCCUGCACUUUUUUUUCUUAAAGGUCUACAAGGAAUCUAGUUGAAUUCUACAGUAAAAAAAAUAACAGAAAAGGAAAAAAAAAGAUUCAAGAGCAAUUAAAGGUUUAUCUGAGGUUUAGAUUCUAAAUAAAAUGGAAGUCCUAGAAGGAAAACAUCUGAGGGCUAAGGGGGCGGGGAUAUAUGUCAUUGAAGAGCUGAGAAUUGACACCUUUGUAUGCAUGAAGGAUGGAGAAAGGGUAGAACCUAUGAUCCUUUCUUGUAUAAGCAGAGUAAUUGGCACCUCCUCUGGUGACUGUGUUUGUAAGUGUACUGAACCUUAUGCAGUUUGGUUCCUUUUAAACAGUUUAAGGAUUAAGUAUCCCAGCUUAAGCCAUCAAUUGACUGGGAUUAUUCUUCCCUUUUAAAUUUUAACUCAAAGUAUCAUUCAACAAUUUAUAGGAAGUCUGAUUCCUUCCUCUAGAUUUCUAAGUUCCUGGGAGCUCAUGUAUUACAGUCCCUCUGACUAUGAGGUCUUGCUCCCACUAAAUUAUUUCAGAUUGUGGAUGGUCCUACAGUUCAAGCAUGUUUUGUUCCCAUUUAUAUCUACAUUGUACCAGAUGCAGAACCCCCAAUUAAAGCUUUUGUAUGUGUAGUAGGCUUUAUUAAACUUUUAGAGUAAUGAGCAGGAUUUUACAUUGCAAAAAGGUAAGUAACUUUAUUCUAAUACUGGCCUAUCCCUGAACUUUAAAGUGCUCUCUAUUGGGGCUGGGGAUGUGGCUCAAGUGGUAGCACACUCGCCUGGCAUGCGUGCGGCCCGGGUUCGAUCCUCAGCACCACAUACAAACAAAGAUGUUGUGUCCGCCGAUAACUAAAAAAUAAAAAAUAUUUAAAAAAAAAAAAGUGCUCUCUAUUAGGGAUGCAUCACUAUUCAUAUUGCCCAUGCAUAUGGCCUUGGUCUUUUUCUCCUUUGAAACUUUCCAUACUAUAAUUGUGACUAAGGACUACAAAUUCUUCUUACUGUGUUUUGCACAGCAGUUGAAUUCUCACUAAUUAUUCUUCCUGAAAGCAACUCUUGGUUCAUUUCUGUUUGUUCAGAACCCACUAUAGGGCUCAGCUCAAUAAAGUGCUCCAUCCACUUCUUCAGCUACACAGAAGAUCAUCUAUAGAACCUCUGAUGUGUUCUUUUCAUUAUCUUCCUCUUUUAAAGCCAUUUCUUUUUGAAAAUGCAUUUACUUUUUAGCCCCAUGAUUUUGCAUUGAAUGAUUUAUGGAGUAGAAGCAGGAUGAUUAUCCAGGCAUGGAAAACAAUUUGAACAUAGGCAGCAACCUUUAUAAGACCUGUGUGGACAAUGAAGAAAAACUAGUACUAUUGCAAGGGAGAAUUCUUGUUGGUGAACAGAGCUCAGAAUAGAUUAAAAAGUCCAGAAACAGAUCUCAGUUUCAAUUAGGAAAGGAUAGUUAGGACAAAUUAUAUAAAAUAGAAAACUGACUAACCAUUAAAAAAAAUUCACUGUUUCCAUAUAAAUUCUAGAUGGAGAAGAGGUUUUUUACAUUAAAACUAAAGUAAUAAAUUUAUUAGGAGAUAAUUAGGUUUUUAAAAAACAUAUCAGUAAUGUACACAAAAGUCUUACAGAUCAAUAGGGAAAAAAAGCAAAUACCACAAAAGAAAAUGUGCCAAAGUCAUAGGAGAAUAAAUACAAAUAACCAAUAAAACACACAGAAAAAGCCUGUUUCACUCUGAUGCGGAAAACACAAAUAGAAAUGAGAUACCAUAGUUCAACUGUUAGAUCAACCAAUAUUAAAAUGAAGAAGUGUUGCUCUGUGGAAAAGCAAGUAUGGUGUGAGGCCCUGCAUUUAACCUUUAGCACUGGGGAAGGGAAGAAAGGGAAGGGGAAGGGGAAGGGGAAGGAAGGAGAAGAAGAAAAUAUUUAUUACUGGAUUGCUGAUAUGGGCUUGAGGAAGCAGGAACUCAUACUUUGUGAUUGGAAAUAUAAAUUAGUACAACUACUCUGAAGUUGAACUUGACAGUAUCUAUCAAAAUUUAAAGUGUGUAUAGUGCACCAUUGGUUCCACUUCUGGGUAUCUUUACUACUAAGGGCAAGUUUAUAGGGACAAAUAUAUAUAUAUAAAACAAAAUAGCCAUUGAUAAUAAACUGGUCAAAUAUGGUGUGUCCAUACAUUGAUAAUGAGGUAGAUUUAUAAUUAACAUGGAAGAUAGCUAUAAUAUAUACAUUAAAAACAUAUAGUAUAUGAACUUCUUUCACCUGAAAUAAAUAUAGGCAUAACUAUGUGUAUAUAUUUAAAAAAAAUCAUACAACACAAUGUUAUUAGAAGUUGUCUUCAGAUUUGGGAAAAAACUAUUGAAAAAACAGAAUUCUGACUUGUGAGUGAUGGGUGAGCUGACAAAAUUAUUUUACCUUGGUGUAUUAGCUAAUGAAGAGCCAUUAUAGAUUACUGGGCAGGUGGUUGUAAUAAAAGUAGUAGUGAUCAGGGAAGUUUUUAUGGUGUGGGUGUCUGAAAUGAAUGAAGCAGAAAAUAAUAUUUGAGAAACUGAUUAGGAAGCUAUAGUGACAGUAUAGGCCUGAAGUAAUAAGUUUUCAACUAGGGUGGACAGUAGGAUUAUAACUUUAACCAGGGAGAGAAAGGGCUAAUCUAAAGACAUUUCAUGGAAGAAACUACUGGUUUGAUAGUCUGUAAGGCUGGAAGAGGAGAAAGAACAAAGAGUAGUAAGUCACCAAGUGUGCCAGUAUUUGUCCUGUAAAAUUGAAAGACUAUCCAUUAUGACAGAAAGGGGGUAAUUAGAAAAGGGAGCCACUCUUAUAGAAGUGGGAGAUGAAUUUGUUUCCUGGAGUCGAAUUUGAAGGUCUAAAGGUAUAUCUGAGAAGAAAUGUUUUGUAGGCUACAGAUCUCCAUUUAGAGAGAAAGUUACUUGUAAAGUAGAAGUGGUAAGCAUGGAGACUCCCUAAAUUUGGUGCCCUUACAGGGUUGGGGGAAGCAUGGUGGUAUCUUAGUUCUUUCUUUGCUGUACAUCUUAAGAGACACUGGAGAGGAGUGCAUGACAGCGAUCUCAAUCAGAUCUAAGGGUAGAUCUUGGGGAAAGAUAGGAGUUCUUAGUAAUAAUAAACAACAGCCAAAACAACACAUAAAAAUCACUGUAUCAUUUACAGAGUACCACCAAUACAGUAACUUAGCUAACACAAUCUUGCAUACUUUUCUUUAUUACUUUUUCUUUUAUAUGGACAUUGAAACUCAAUUAGAAUGUAGAAUUAGGACUCAAAUUGAGAUAUUCAGCUUCAAACUCCAUUUCUAAUUUUCCCAUUCCCUUGCCUCUUAAAGGUGAAUUUUCUAAGGAAGGAAAUACUGAUGCAAAAGCUGCAGCCUGGAGUUAGGAACAGUUAUGAGAUGGGCAGAAGAGGACCACUUUAUAGUCACUGCAUUGUUCCCUGGUCCUUUUGAGCUCUGACAUUCUCCUAAACCCAGAGAAUGUUGGAUGUUCCAUUGAAUUCAAGGCGGGGGGUGUGGGGUAGGGGUCCUAACCUGUCCAUAAAUAGCUAUGAAGUGUUUUGGAAGUAAGGGUGUCCAGUUUGAUUAUGGCAUAGUUAGUGGUGGCGUAGUAGUUUAUUGAAUUCUGGCUUCAGUCUUUGAAAGCAAUACAGUAAAAGUGUAUUGACUUUGACUAGUGAGGGAAAGGCUUGUCUGAGUUAGUUAAAUGAUAAAAGAAUUUUUUGAAGUCAUGAUGUUUGUUUAGUUUGGGAAUCCCAUGUUACCUCCACUUGGGUAUUCACUAACUAGUGGAAAUCUUGGGAGGACCUGCUUUAGUGAGUAGAAAAUCAUGAGUCUCUUAAGUCACUUCAGUUUUCCAACUGGAAAUUAUACUUAUGAGAUUAAAUUAUUUAGCUUAUUCUGAUAGCAUAAAUAAAAAGGCAGUUAUGACCUUUUAGAUGUUCUGAAUCCAAAGGGUCAACUUUAAGGAUGGUCUGCAGUCAUUAGACUUGAGUCUUUAAAGAAUCUUACAGGGAAUCCUUACAGUCCAGUGCUUGGAGCAUUCUGGGGAGUCCGGGAAGGGUGCUUGAAUGAGUGUGUGAAGGACUGAUGGAAUCUUUCUUCCUGAGGCUUGUUGAGCUGGGUGGAACAGUUUUCCCACAGCCUCAUACCACAGCUUUGAUGGGUUGUUCAUAAUAAGUGUUACUGCUCAGAUUUUAUGGGGAGGAGGGAGGAAAUGGAGGCACUAUUAGAAGUUUCUGCUUUAUGAACUGGUGAUUGUUUAGGUAUUUCCAAAACUAGUAAGCUAGUGUCACUUGGGUCCCAGUCACAUGAUCUCUCCUCGUAAAGGAUGAGAACAAAUGAAGAGGUCCAAGGAGAUAGGAGAUUUCCUGUUGGCAAACUGGAUCUUACCCAAAGAUUUACAUUAUAGAUGUUCCUCCUGAUUGUUUGGAUACUAAAUCAGGAGCCUCUUUUGCUUAUCUCUGACUUUUGCUUACCCACACUGGCCCUGCCCUUUGGUUGUUUGCCAUUGGUGGUUUUUAGCCCUGCUAGAAAUUAUGCUCUCUACUGUAAAGCAAACUUGGGAGGUGUAAGUUCUGGCUCCAGAGGGACUGGGACCUGUCACUUAACCUUGCCUUGUGUUUUCCAUCAUGCAUUCCUGGCCACCUUUUUACCCUUGGCAUGCUUCUCCAAGUCUGUAAUUCUGCCUAGGUAAGGAUUAGGGGCUAGCUUCUUCAGAGGGAUGUGGGAUAGGAAUGUCAGUGUUUUAGAAGAAGUUCCUCUAUGUCCUGUGCCCUGGGAGCAUUACUGGUCUCAUAUAGAUGAUCUAACAGUUAUAUUGAGAGUGUUGGGGGGCACAAAGUAUAUUCACAAAAGGAUAUACUACUGCAUUUCUUUAAGCGUUCUGCUUUUCAGAAUAAAAUCUGAUUUUCAAAUGGUAAUAUGCAAUUAUUCACAGAAUAUUAGUACCAGAAAAAAAAAACUUUUUAGAUUUUCUAGAUCAACUUCCUUGUCUUUGAAAUGAGUAGAUCUAGGGAGGUUGGGCAAGGGGCAAAGCCAGACCUGUGCGGAGGAGCUGACAUGGUUAUGUGAAAGUAGUUGAAGUAUUUGGGGGUAAGGGAGAAGGCUCACUGCCUUCAGCCUGGAUAAUUCCUACCUCAUUGACUUAUCUUAGUUCUUCCAGACUGGUCCUAAAAGGAAAUAGUCCCAGAAUUUGCAUUUUCAAGGCAUAUUUAAGUGAGUAAAAACCUAAAUUACAACAUGUGAAUGAAUGCAAGUUUAUUAAGGAAAGCUAAUUAUUAGGUUAGCAAAAUGUCAGUGGAGGUUCUUCUUCAGGGGGCCUGAUUUAAUGGGCCAAUUAGAUUGAUUUCGAACUAAAAUUGUGCUUUCUAUAAUAUAUGCUUAUUAAGUCCAUUUCUUCAUUUAUCAAAUAUUUAUUAACUGCAGAGAGUUCUGCAAUAACUCAACUGAGCCUGCUUUUGAGGAACUUAAGUUUAGCACGCAGAUAACUUUAAUUGUAGAGAAAGUCAUAGUAUGACAGAUUCAGAGUAAUGAUAUGGGAAUUCAGAGUAAGAAGAGAUUUUUUUCCAAUAUUUGGAUCUAGAGAAUUAGGUAAGGUUUUAGAAAACAGGUGGGUUUGUUUUAGAAAAAACAGUAAAUAGUCUUACUUAUAUCAACAUUGUUAGAACUAUGACUUCAAACAUUUAAAAAAGCAAAAGCAAUCUUUCUGUUGCUUAUAUCAACAGUGUUGAAAAUCUGUUCUAGUUCAUAUUAUCAAAAAUUUCUCUCACUAUUAUAAUUCUAAUAUUUAUUUUUUUGGUUUUCGGCGGACACAACGUCUUUGUUUGUAUGUGGUGCUGAGGAUCGAACCCAGGCCGCACGCAUGCCAGGCGAGCGCGCUACCGCUUGAGCCACAUUCCCAGCCCUCACUAUUAUAAUUCUAUAUCAAUAAUACACUGUAUUUCCAUUCACUGUACUCUUUUGCUAAUUGCUAAGGUAAUUUUUUCAAAGAGAAGAAUUUUUGGUAAGUAAGAGUAAUUCACUUGGGCUGGGGUUGUGGCUCAGUGGUAGAGCACUUGCCUAGAAAGUGUGAGGCACUGGGUUCAAUUCUCAGCACUACAUAUAAAUAAAUAAAUAAAUGAAAUAAAGGCCUAUCAACAACUAAGAAAGUAUUUUUUUAAAAAAGUAAUUCACUGUUUUAGUGGGCCAUGACUGCAGCUCGUGAAUGAGAGGCAAGGGUGUGACCCCAUUGGGGAGGCUCCUCUUUGAAGAAGUUCAGCUGUGAAGUGAGAAGAAUUAGUAAAAAGAGGGUGCAAGAUAUAAAGAGGGCUAUUAAUCUCUUUUCUUGAGAGCACAACCCUAUGCUGUGGGGAAACAGCAAGUAGAAAUUGUUUGAGAAAGUCUCCUGGGGAAAAGGGAAUACUGUAUCCUGAGUAUUGGUGGACAAGUUUAAACUUGAACUGAACAAAGGUCAAGGCUGCACUGAGAUUAACAUUACCACCAGUACCACCAUUUGUUACUUUCUUACAUUUUGCCAAGAUUCUUCUGAACACUUUUUUUUUUUUCCUUCCCCUCCUGAGAUGUUGUUUCACUGUGUUGCCCAGACUGGUCUUGAUCUCUGGGUUUAAGUGAUUCUUUGCCUUAGUCUCUCAAGUAGCUGGGACUACAGAUGUGUACCACUGAGUUCUGCUGAGUACUUUUAAGUCUUAUUUCAUAGGGAUAUAAUGGUUAGAGGGAUUUGAUGAGAUUUUGGGAGAUAGUUGGGCUUUCUUUGAGCUUUGUUUUUUCUGAGAAGAAGUUGAAAUCAUCUGUUAGGAGCAAGUGAGAUAGUGGGGAGAGUGGUAUGGUUUCAUAAAAAACUCUUGUGCCAUUGGCUAUGACCUUGAGAGACAUGUAAGAGGAUAGCUGAGCAGUGCUGAAGACUCACCCAAUGUUGGAGAUCAUUAAUUUAUAGAGGAAGCAGCCCUCAUUACUAAUGAUUAUUUCAGCAGUAUGAAACAAGUGGAGGAUUAAAGCUGAGAACAUCUGCAUUCAGAUAGAAACUGUGUUGUACAACAAAUAGAAGAGGAGAAAUAAAUGUGGCCUAGAGUAUUGGUGGGAGAGUGGUUGUCCUUUAGCUGACUAGAGAAAGAAGUGAAUCCAAGAGAGUUCUGAUGGUGGCACAGUGGUGGGGAAGGGCCUGGAAAUCACAGUGAAGUUAAAGAACAGAAGUUAUAGAAGCAAUGAUGAGAAGUAGAAAUAGAGGAGGUCAUGAUCAGGCAAAGGUUUGACUUGAGAUGGAAAGGCAGACUGUGACCAAGUCCUUGAUGACCAGGAGGUCAGCAGAUGACAGCAAUGAGUAGGAGUAUAGUUGUUCAGCAUAAGACUUAGCAAAAAAAAAAAAAAAGAUGCUUUUUGGUAAUAUUAUAACAAUAAUGGUUUUGAAGCAACAUCAAGGCAACAAGAUAUCAAGCAAAGAAGUCUCUUUUUCCUCCUCCUCCUGCUGGACACUGAAGAUUGUUUUUAUGUUGGAACUUUCAUUGCCCAGAAUGCAAGUUCAUAAAGGAGUGUCAAGUUUCAGCUGGAGGGAAGGUGGCCAGGACAGUUUUUCAGGUAUGCUUUCUACACUGCCUGCUUAAAUAGUGUGGGGGUUUAAUGGGGUUGCUGGGGUGAGUGAUGGCCAACUAGGACAACCGCCUAAGAUCCUGGGCCUUUGUUUACAGAUACAGGAGCCAAGUACUUUUAGGGAAAAGCUAUUGGCCCUCUUGUAGGCAAAUCUUAUUUGGCCACUAGGGUGUUUUUUUUUUUUUUUUUUUUUUUAACUGCUCUAGUUCAGAGUGGGCUGUACUAAUCAUCUGUGAGAGGCUGAAUGGAAACUUUUUAAAAGUUUCUUGCGUAAAACUCUGGUAGGAAUCAGUGGACUCUUGAGCCUUUGUAUUCCUUUGGGGUCUGACGUUUAUUUUUCCUGGGCUGUGUUCAGUCAUUCCCUUCAUGGUGACAGCAAGUAAUUCCCUAAAGCUUACAUAGUUUGAAAGAGUCUGGAAAUUCUCAGUUCAUUGUUCAUAAAGCUGUUUUAAGGAUUUUCAGUGAUUCAGGAUUCCUUCAACAUUGUUAGUACUAUGACUUCAAACAUUUAAAAAAGCAACCCCAAAUUACUGGAAACAAACAAAAAUCCUCAUAGUUCUUUUUGCCCUUUCUUGAUCAAUUUUCACUGUCACCCUGGCUAUAAAACCAGAACUCGGAAAAUAACUGUCUAACCAGCCACUUUAUCAAGGGACCUAAAUGGAAGAGACCAUAGUGGCUCAGAGCUUGAGGUGCAUUGCUCCCAUUUCACUUUUUUCUAAGUAAUUUGUAAUUGGUUUUGCUACAUAAAAGUGAGAAACUUGGCUUGGGGAUGUGGCUCGGUGGUAGAACGUUUUGCCUAGUAUAUGCAAGGCCCUAGGUCCAAAAAAAAGAGAGAGAGGAGAGAAACUUGUUUCUGGCACAAGUUACUAUAAACAAAGUUAGAAGAGAGCCAACAGGCUAGGAGAUUAUUUUUGCACUAUAUGUAAUAGAUGAUAGAUUAAUAUCUACAAUCUUUAGAGAGAUCCUACAAAUCAAUAAGAAAAAUACUAUAAACCCAAUAUAAAAUGGCAUAGAAUACAAAUAGGCAAGUUACAGCGAAGCAAACAGAUUUCAUCUAAGGAAUCACUCACCCUUAUGCCCAGAGUCUUCUAGAGAAGGAUUUUCAUUGCAAUGGUGAAUAUCCAUGAGUAGGGGUACUGUGAAAUUCUGUGUGGCUGUUAAAACAUUGAAGUAGGUUUUUGUGUCAGUAAAAAUAGAAAGCAUGGAACAGUAUGAAUAGGAGAUUCCUAUUCAUUUUGAAAAUCAUUCCUGUUUGACUUAGAAUGUAUACAAGUUACUUUAUAUAAUUUUUAUAGUAAUUUCCUUUAUUUAAGGCUGUAUUUUUCUAAUGAUGGCAUUAAAGAAUGAAAUGUUAACUUUUGCCAGUUUCUUAUAUAAGAUAGAAAAUAUAUAUUCUACAUCGUUACCUUUAUCCUUUCUUUGUUAAUGUACUUUGGUAUUAUAAAUUUUAGCUUCUGGGAAGAAUGUAGAGACUUCUCACCCUAUCUUCCCAGGAACUAAAAGGAUCCCUAAGGAAUGCUACUAUGUUGUCUGCAGUUGCAUGUUUUGGAAUGAUGAAUAAAGGAAUUCAAAGCUCAGGAUUCUUCUUUGCUAGGAUUUACUUGUUUUUGGUGUUCACAGCCUUGCAGAGCCUCCCUGCCUCUGACUCUGAUGCAGGGGCCUCUGCGUGGGAAGCCUUGCUUGUCCCAUGCUCUUAGAAAAGGAUGGGAAACAUGAGUGGCUCAGGAAAGCAAGGCUUAAAGCUGGCCUAGCCCAUGGGAGGAAACCUGUUCUUUGCAUCUGUCCUUGCCUCUCUUUUGGAGAGGCUUUCUCACUGGUUUUAACCUUGGUUCCAGACUCACCAACCUAGGUGAAAGAAGUCUUUGAAACUUAUUCUAGUUUUACCUAUUUUGCUGAAGUUUGAAGCUCCAAAACUCCAGCCUGGAAACAGCAGGAAUUCCAUCAGAAGGUGGCAAGGAUAUAUACUCCCUUGUCUUUCAAAGAUUGGCAGUGUCUCUGGGACAGAAGUGUUGCUUUGCUUACUCACAUUUCAGUGUCAGUGGACAUAAUGGGGAUUGUUUCAGACUUGUUACAUAAGCUGUUGUCUGAGGUGGAGAAUUUAGGGUAGUGUAAUAUAAAUUUAUUUAAAACAAAAACUUUGACUAGUUCUUCUUGUAAAGAGGGGUGAUAUAAUUCGUAUUCGUACUGGGAAAAAAAUCAUUCCAUUCCUUUGACCACUACAGAAUGGUGGUAGCAACAAGAGAGUAAAAGUUCUUAACUGUUCCUUGGUGCCGAUCAGGGAGAAACCUGGAGUGAAUGGUUCUUAGUGGGUUCCCAACUCUGGAAGGAGGAUGGAGAGCUAAGGUACUCUGAAUAAUAUAAGGGGAAUUUAGUCCCUACCACCAACAAAAUGUGAGGAGCAUGUGGAAUGGAUAAAAGGACCAAGCAGCAGGGUAAUAUAAAAUCUCUGUCUCUUUAUACUUUCAGGGAAAUCUGACAGACACAUGAUGCUUUGAGUGAGUUUGUGUGUACAUAUUUUUUCUUUGGAGUAAAGCAUGGAAAAAGAGCUGAGUCCCACAUCUGGGACUGCUUAGAGCAGAGAGAAGAGACCAGCCUCAGGAGGUGAGAUGUGAAAAAGAUCAAAGCUCUAGCAAGAGUUGGAGCAGAGCCAAAGAGACUACUAAGAGUAUUAACUGCUGGUAAUUUGCUGAGAUUCUGGGAAGACCAUUGGAUUUCUUCUUGGGAUGGGAGGAUCCAGGCAGCUUUUAAAAGAAUGCACAAUGACAGAUGCAGCUGACAUCUGAUUGUUGUAGUGCUGUAUAGUUCAGAAUGUUUAACAGUGGUUCUCCAAAAUCUUGCUCUGUGAAUGUUCCAGCUAUCAUAUUAUAUUCCUCUUUCUGCCCAGUGAAAGCUGUUUUCCGUUCAGACUUCAAAAGGGAAGCAAAAAAAAAAAAAACAUGUCCACACGGAGGACUUUGUCAUAUUUCUCCUUCCCUGUGAGUUAUGCAGAACCUGAGGAUGCUGGUUAAAGAGCCAAUGAGCUAUACCCUUCCCAGCCAUGCAAUUGCCGAGUAGGGUCUAUCAUUUAGGGGUAAAGAAAAAUUGGGAAAAAUCUUCUGUAAAAUCUUGGAACUUUAAAACUGUUCUGAGCAAGGACCUAAAUAAAUAGUAAGACUUCUGUUAGUAUCUUUUUUUUUUUUUUUUUUAAAGAGAGAGAGAAUUUUUUAAUAUUUAUUUUUUAGUUCUCGGUGGAUACAACAUCUUUAUUUUAUUUUUAUGUGGUGCUGAGGAUCGAACCCAGCACCCUACACAUGCCAGGCGAGCGCGCUACCACUUGAGCCACCUCCCCAGCCCUUCAGUUAGUAUCUUAAAGUAAGAAGUCAUGGUCUCUGAGCAGUGUGAAUCUAGUCAGUGCCACACUGAACUUAGUAUUUUUGCGCAUGCCUUAGCGGGGAAGACCUGGCUGAUGGAAGAACCUAUUGUAUGGUCUCAACACCCACUUUGAGAACAAUAGAGGUCAGUGAGCUUUGACUAUUCGCCAUUCUCCUUUCUUAAAUAAGAGCAUUUUUAUUUUCUUUAGGGGACCACUUCCUUUCCUAUUUUCAGAAGUGGUUCCAGUGGAGUAAGUUCAUCUCUUGGAGGACACAUAGUCAUGUGCCAGUCAGAGAAUAGUACUUGGCAGGCAGGGGCAUAGACCCACAUCCAGGCCAAUCAGGUCUCUCAGGGUUUUUGUUAGAACUAUUAAGAAGUGCACUCUUAUUUUCCUUUCCAGCUCGGUUGCCCUGACCCUACAGAAUGUAAGUCCCAUGCUGCUGGAGACCAUCUUGCCACCCUAAGGAGAAUACUGCCUAAGAAUGAAGGCAACACAGAUGACAGCUGAGCUGUGAGAUAGAGAAAACUGGAGAUCAGAUGGUGUCUUGAGUACCUGGAUGUAACCACGUGUUAAACUGGUGGAAUCCUGGACGCUUAUUUUGCGUGGACCUAGACUUUCCCUUUUUUUACCCCUUAUAGAAGUUUGAUUUGAAUCGUCACCUGCUGCCAGAAGUGUCUUAAUUAAUCCAUGUCAUAAAUGGUAUAUCAUUCUCUUACAGAGAAUAUGGUAUGGUUCACCUUUUUUUGGUGGGGGAUGCGGGGUACCAGGGAUUGAACUCUAGGGCAUUCACUCACUGAGUCAUAUCCCCAACCCUAUUUUUUGUGUUUUAUUUAGAGACAGGGUCUCACUGAGUUGCUUAGCAGCUCUCUGUUGCUGAGGCUGGCUUUGAACUCAUCAUCCACCUGUCUCAGCCUCCCGAGCUGCCGGGAUUACAGGUGUGUGCCACUGCACCCGGCUAGGUUCAGCUUUUUUCAACAGAUCCUUUUAUCUUAAAGUGCUGAAUUUGAAUUGUAAGUUUGUUAUAAAAAUCAAAUGAGACCAUACAUGUAAAGAACUUAGUAUUAUCUUUGGCAUAGUAAAAACCCAAUAAAUAUAGGAAGGAGGGAGGGAUAGGGGACAGAAGGAAACAAAGGUGCCAAAUUGAAAGAACCCUGAAGUCCUUAGGGUAAUAUUCUAAGAACCUUCAGACCCUAUCUGGUCAUACUGUUCUAAAUGCCCUUAGCACCCUAUACUUUCCCUUUAUAACCUUUCAUCAUGGUUGUGUUGUAAUGUUAUGUUUGUAUCUUAUUUUGAUUAAUACCUGCCUUCCUGAUUGACCUGGGUUGUUCACAGUUCCAUCUCAUCACCCAUUCUAGUAUAUCACAUUUGGCAAAUAUUUUAAAUGGUCACAUACAAUUAUCCAAAUUGGACUGAUCACUUUGAUUCUUGGGGGGGGGGCGGUCAGGAAUGUGGCAACAUUGGCAAAAUCAGGGAAAGAAGACAUUAACCCUCCUUAAUCUACUGCAUUACCCACAUUCAACAUACAGAGAAUUUUGGCUCAGUGAAAUAUUUCUUUUUGGUUGUGAAACCCUUUACCAGACCACUAGUUCUUAUAUUUUUAUUGGACCAUUUUGUGAAAUAAUUGAAUAAUGUGUUUCUGGCUUAAUAUCUGGAAAGCCUUGCAGAGAAGCUCUUUGUGCUUGAAAUCUUCCUUGCUCCUGUGUCUGUCAGGCACCUGUUUAACUGAGGUAGUCUUCCCUCCCUCAGACUCUUGCAGAAAUAUGUUGCAGGUUGAAGGAAGGCCGGGAAGCUGAUGAGGGCAAGGUCCUGGCCUUUGGAGACUUCACUCCCUAGCAAAAAACAAAAGCAGUAAAAGGUACCCCUGGUAAUCUGGCACUCAAUCUUGAGUACUUUUUUGGUGAGGGCAUUUAUUAAAUAUGAGCCCAGGCCCCCACCCACUGCCAUUUCCUCUUAGCCAGGUUGCCUCUCAUCCCCUAGCCCACUUUCCCUGAGGUAUGUGUGUGGGGGAUGUUCCCAGGGCCCAUGUAACUUCCACUGGCAAGUGACGAUUACAGAUGCUUUACCAGUCAGUAAAGCUGCCAAAGGCUUUUGUACUGUAAUAAUCCUUUUCCUUUUUAAAACUCCAGGGUUUUUCUACUGUUGCCAAUAGUUUUGCAAGUCAGCAAUUACGGUGUGGAUUAUGUAAUUGCUGGGUAGUAAAAAUAGAAAAGGCCAGGGUUUGCAUCUAUUUUAACCAAAUCAAAACAGAGCAAAGGGAGGGGAAAGGAGAAGAGGGAAAGACCAAAGGAGGAGGGGAAAAGACAUCAUGUGACAAGCAGCAGUAUGAUUGCAUCUUGUGACUGGAUAAUACAGCCACAAUUUAUGUGCCUUUUCCCUGCCAUUUUUGACCCAAAGUCCUGCACUUCUUUCUUUGGCCUCUCCAUGGAUGGGAGUGCUGCCAGUAGUUCCUUCAGAGGAUACAAGAUCCCCCGUGGAUAAUCCUUAGCUCAGUCCUGUUGUGUUUACCUGCUUCUGGCAAGCACAGUGGCUCAGGGAGAGGGAGUUGAAUUUGACAGCUCCCCUCAAAGUCCAGGUCUUUGUGUCUGGAUUUCCAAGGUCUUUGUAGUCAGCUUAUUUUCUUGUGCAGUGGUGGAGCCAAGGAGUGGCUUAUGGGGAGAGUCUGGCAUACCAAAUCCCUAUCAGUCUUAGUCAAAGCUACCCUAAAUAAAUAUGCAGUGUAAUUACAAACCAUGUAUUCUCUGAAAACGGCUUCUAGAUAGACACCCUUAAUUCUUCCACUUCCCCACUCACACUUCACUCCUUUGCCUUCUGUGCCCCCGAUAAAGGAAUUUCAGGGCUUCCACUCAUUUGUUCUUGUGUAACUCUGCACCAAUCCCCUACUCCUACCCUGAGUUAAGAGUUAUAUUUAUAUUUCUCUAGAGACUUUUUGAGCAACUUUAAGGACCCUAAUGGUAAAACUUUAGGUACCAGGUGGAUCUAGAGCAGGGAAGAUAUUUUUGGAAAGAAGACUUCUAAGGGCCUAAUAGAUUACAUAAAAACACACUCAGGCUUCCUGUGAUAUUACCUCCAGAGGUAACCAUAGAGGGAGGUUUUGAGUUGGUCACUUGUUAACAGCCCUUGAGUCUGUAUAAAGCCCAAGCAGAAAGCCCUCUACCUCCUAGGUCUCUGAUGUUAGAGAGUGGUGGAUACUUUGAAGAAGGCAGCUCACUAAUUUCCAAAACUGAACCUAUAGAAGUUCGGUAGGGUUAGAGGGGGACCCAGAAGUUCAGAUGGUAAAUAGACCCAGUCACAAGUAACACUAGAAAGUUGUUUCCUCACCAUUCUUCAUCAUUACUUCUGUAUACUCCUCUAUAUACCCAUCAUACUCCAUUCUCAGAGCCCUCAUCUGUACUGGAGUGGCAGAGUGUCAGCAGUUCAGAAUAAUACUGGUUCCAGCUCCAGUUAGCCUUACUUAGCCCCACCCGUCCUGCCCAACCUGCUUAAAGGUCAAUAGUUCUUAUUCUGGUUUUUAGGCAUUUCAUGAGAUAGGUGGGAGUAUCUGGGGACCUACCUUAGGGAUUUUCAGUUACAGUUCCCUGAACUGGCUAAUGUUCAUGAUGUGGUACCUCUCUCUUACCCUUGUGGAUUUUUCAUUUCCUAGAGCUAGAUUUCUAUUCACAUUUGCCAAAGAUCGACUUUGGUAAGAACCACCAAAUAUCUUCUAUGAUCCAGAUUUUUAUCCUCCUAACUAUGUUCGUUCAUGUACUUGAACAAACCUGGUUAUGUGUCCUGGACUUGGGUUUGGUUGACAUCAUUGCAGCAUCAGUUUUUCUGUAUCUGGACAGGCUGGUCACUCCAAACAUCAGCGGAAGUUGGGCGUCUCGGAGAAUAUCUGCCUUCCAGUUCCCAUCUUAUCUCCCAGUCUUUGAGCAAGGUAAGGAGUCCAUGGAAUUACCUGCUUUAGGAACAACUAAGGGCUGGGGGGUCAAUCCAAGACUAAAUUUCUGUCAAGAUCCACAAAGGAAGACUUCCUACCUGAAUUCAACUUGUGUUGACUCCUUUCCACCCACCCCAUGGAUAGAACCAUAAAGAGACAUCAACUUGACCACAGUAAUGUCAGGUACACUGGUCAUCCCCUUCUUUUCCUGAAGGAGAUGGCUCUUUUUGUCAUUAAAAUAUUUAAUGGUUUUCUACUUCCCAACACAUACAUGCUUGUAUGUGGUACUCAUAGUGUGUAUUUUUGGAGAUACUAAGUUGUUCACAGUUGGAAUAGAAUGAAUAGCAAAUUUAACUACAUUUAACUUUUACUCAUCCAACUAUACUGACAAAUUUGAGACACAGUAUUGUUUAUAUAUGUGAGACAUUUAUUUGGAUUACAAACAGAACAAGAUACGAAAUGAUGGAUCAUUUGGGUUAGCUCUAGUACCAGGGCUCAGAGCUAGACAACUAUCACCUGUUACUGCAUAUCCUUUACCCCUGGGGUCCCUUUUUUGUUCGUAAGAUCAUACUGAGAAAUGAGUUUGAGGAAUGGGCCAAGACAGGCAUAGGGUUAGGCCUCAGGACUUUACCUCUUUGCUGAAUUCUUCAGGCUGAAAUUGCCAGGAGCCAGGAGAGGGUAGGAUGUUGGGUGAGGUAGCAUGGCACCUG